UUACGAACCAAGAAAGGAUUAAACUAAUUGGAGAAGGGAUACUAGUUUUGGCAAAGAAAAAAUAUUCAAAUUAAAAGACACGGCUAUUUCCAAAAGAAGUUAAAAGACAAAAUCUUUUAACUCAACCAACUUAUGAAAUUCAAAUUUUGUUUUAAUUUCUUCGUUCUAUAUCAUUUCAAGAGCAACGAUAUAAUUUCUUCAUUCAUACUCCAACAUAUUUAACUUCAUCAUUAUUCAAUAUAUGCUAGUGCACAUUACAUAAUUAAGACAGCAAACAUUAUACAACAUUACACUCACAAACCACUACUAAAUUUACAUAUUUAUUGGCAUCAUAUUCAUCCACGAAGUUGUAUAUAUAACGCGUAAAUGCUACACUUUGUCGAGCUAGAUUCAGCAUGGAGGCUUAAUUUAAGGUUGUGCAUCCCUCAUUCCACCAGCAUUUUUGCUGCCUCCUCCACCUCCGGAAGAACCUCCUUUUGUAUAGCCUGCAGGAUAACCUCCACCUCCAGGAUAGCCUCCUGGAUAGCCUCCAGGAUAGCCUCCUGGAUAUCCUCCAGGAUAGCCUCCUGGAUAGCCUCCUGGAUAGCCAGGCCACCAACCUCCAGGUCCUGGCCAAUACUCUUAUUAACAAACACAUUAACACAAUUCAUGUUAGCCAUUAAUACAUGUAUACUAUAUUAAUUUAUGCUCAUCAUAAAACAAAGUUAUAAAAUACAGAACUUACGAUGAUCUGCUGUCGCUUUUGAUGUAAUCAGAAGAACUACAGCCAAGAAAAUGCAAAAAGUAAUUGUCUUGGAGCCCAUUUUUCUCUCCAAGAAUUUUCUUAUACUUUUUCUUAAUGAGUAUUUUGGUGUGUCAAGCCUCUAUUUAUAGCUAAAAUCUGGACAGAAAAGAGAGAGAGAGAGAGAGAGAGAGAGAGAGAGAGAGAGAGAGAGAGAGAGAGAGAAAUUUGCUAUUUGAGGUAAGUAGAGUAUGUCUUGACUUGGUCUACCUUAUCCUCAACCUGUCGGGGUUUACUUGUUUUCAUUAGGGGGAAAUAGAGAUGAUCAUGUAGUGCCGAAUUUUGCCAACCGUCGAAAUUUAAUAUCAUAAAUAAGUUAAUGUAACAUGAUGAAGUGCCUAAUUUAUUGUCAAUAUAUCCUAUAACUUAGUCGAGAAUAGUCUGCAUAAAAAGGCCUCUUCUAUGUGAUCUAAUACCAUAUUUUUCUAUUUUCUUUUAGUUUAUUUCAGAAAAUUGGCGCAGAUCGUUGUGCUGCGGAUUAUUUGCACUGCAACUUCAUAGGUUAGAGGCCAUUUGCGUCAAUUAUCGGUUUGUUUCUAGUGACCCCAGAAAUCAGGUCGUCUGCGGUCGCGUUAGGGUAGGCACAGUAAAUAGAUUGUCAUUUAGCAGAUGAUAUCCAUUCAAAUGGACAAAAGGUCAGAUGGGUCCGAAUUCAGUAACUGUUGUUUAAAGCUAUUCAUAUUAAAUAAAAUAAUUUUUUUUUUUUUUAGUAAUAUUAUUUGUAAUCACUCACUGUCGUAAUCAUCCUACGUGACAUACAUGUGGUGGUUACUAAUUUGAUACAUUAAUGUGAUAUUGUUUUAUGUAUCAAAUCACAAACCAAUACAUAUUUACCAUGUACAGCGACUGCGAUAAUAAACAGCAACUACAAAUAGCAUUAUUCCUUUUUUUUCCCAUUUCACAAUCAAACUUGAGUGAGAUAUUUCUAGCACAAUUCUCACGGUUUGAAGGUCCACUCUGUUGAUAGAGAGUCAUGCUUGAUUUUGAACCAGUUGCCAGUUAAUCUUAUCAACAAUUAUAUGGUUCAUAUACCAUGCAAUUUACUCAUUUCAUCCAAAAUAGAAUAUCAAAAUAAAAUCGAUUUCCCAAAGAUCGACAACGUCUAAGCGUCCAAAGCUCGACCAAAAGAAAAUGAUAGGGAUUAAAUUGAUCGAAAUUAGAAGUUGUAAAAACUAAUGGGACUAAAUUAAAUUUAUUUGGAAGAUAAUGGUUUAAAUAAAUUAUUAAGGGUUGGAAUUAAUAAUCCAUGAUUUAACUCAAAAUAGGUUCAAGGGCCAAAAACUUCGAAAUUAGAAUUUUUGGACAACUUCAUUCAUGAUCGAACAGUCAGCUUGAAGACACGAUUACGACUUGUAAAUUGAGAGUUAACUCUGAAUGUUAGCUCAUUUUUAAAAUUCAUUACGAGACCAGCGAUUUAAUAUCAAUAUUGAAUAUUUUUCAUCUCACCAAAUAGCGACAAAACUAAUGCCGAAGUUGAACUCGAAAUCUGGAAUUGCUGAAUCUUUUUGUGUUCAACAUUUUAUGCACACCGGAAAAACAAGAAAGUUUAGAUGAAAGUUGAAAUUACAAAUAUUUCAAAUUUCACCUUUUCUUUUUCAAAAAGCCGAAAAAUCUAAGACAGUUCAAAAAUUCUAUCUUCUUCAUGAUUACAAGAAGGGAAAUUUUGAAAGAACAUGAACUAAGAUUCAUUAAACAAAAAUGAAACCUUUUUGGAAAGAAACGGUAAGAGUAAAGGAAAAUGAUAAAAACUUAUAAUCCCUCAGUCCCACAAAGAGAGGCUUCCUUCCAUUAUUACAAAGAUAAAAAAAAAUUCUUAUUGUUUAAAAAAUAAAAAUUGAUGUUGGUGGACUUCCAAUUUUCUUAUUUCACCUGUGUUUUUGCUCAUUGCUACCACAGCACGUCUGUUAAGGCUGCAAUUAAGUAGCGAGAAGAGAAGAGAGGAUGAUUAAAGAGAGAAAGUGAUUCGAAUGGGUUUCUGCAAUAGAGUGAGAGAUUUGCGUGUGUGGGAAAUGGGGACAGCUCGUUGGGUGUCAAAAGGGAGAGAAAAAAGAAAAUCAAAAAAUAACUAUUUGCUAACACGUGUCAAAAUGACAUGUUAUGCGAUCAUAAGCGGGGAAAAAGAGGAGAAAAAAAUAAAGGAUUAAAUUGUAACAUUGUCCGCGCAACUGAAUUAACUUCAAUUUUUGGGUGAGACUUACUAAUAAAGUUGGAAGAAUCCAUAUGUACAUAUUUUAAGUUUACAGAAGUUGCACAAACUCAUGUGUGUGGGCUUUACAGUAUAUAAAAUAUUCCAAAAAUAUUGUGGGCCUCAAGAACUGUGAGAUUUCUGUACCCAUUCUGUAUAAAAUUUUUCUAUACGUGUAUAACAGCCCAAUAAAGUUUCCUUUUCUUACAUUAUGGCAGCAUGGGUACUUGUCUGCAUUUAAUACAUUUAAGCAUUUUGUUACUUUCUUUGUACGUAUUGAUAGAGCUUGAAGCGUCAACUGACUUGAAGAUGAAGUUGAAAUUUAAAAAGGUUGAACUUCAACUUUAAGGACCCCCACCGUUCCGUCCUUGGAGUAUUAUGAGAGAGGUAAAUCGAGGGAUGUGACUCAACAGACCAGGGAAUAAGAACUUGUCUGUACACUGAUAUCCACAAAGAGUCCAAUUCUAUAUUUCGGGAGUUGAAAUUUAAAGUGUAUGUGAAGUUGAUCAUUAUAAUUUACUCGGGCAAGGACUCGACCCUUUUUCUUUCAAAAUUGACACUUAUUAAGCCCCCGUUUGUUUUCGAUUAUUUACUAAUUAAAAUGAAAAAUAUAACCAUUAUUCAUCACAUCAAGCCACCAUAUUUGACUUUUUAUCUCUUGUGUGGGACCCGUAACGACUAUAUUUUUCAUUCUCAUUUUUACAUUAUUAUGUACCAAACAGGGCCUAAACCUUUCUUUUUGAAACCGUAUAUUUAUACUCUUUUCAAAUAAAUUGGUGAAUUAUGGUGUUACUGAUAGCAAAAAGUCAUGUUAAAUUCUUCUCAUGAACUCUAAUUAUUGUUUUAUUUUUUAUUUUUAUGAUCGUGGGUGUACAGGCCAACUUACACGCACCUCAACUAAUUUCACGGGACCCUAAAGUUUACGGCCGGCAUAAACUCUAACUAUUAGAAGAUGCAAGAAUGUCUAAAGAACCCAAAGGAGCUCGUAAAAUCACUUGAGAUGAUUUUGCGAAUGGGUUUAGUGACUUACGAGAUGCUAUUCUUUGCCAUAUUUUAUCAUUUCUGAACACAAAAUAUGUGGAGGCCACUCUAUACAACUCAUCAGAUUUAAGGACCUUUUUGUUUCUGUCCUUGACAUCCUUCUUGAAUUAGUCGUUGCGGUAGAAAUUGCAAGGUGUAGUCUUAGACAAAUUAUGCUACGAAAUGUGCCUCAAAUCAUUUAAUUUCGUUUUAAAUGCAAUUUCACUUUUAAUGAUUCUGCAAUCAAAACUCUAGCAUGUGCUGCAAUAUGGCAAAGUUUUAAACAUGUUGAUAUUUGUGUGAGGUAAAAUCACUAGAAUAUUAUCAUCUGAAUUCUAUAUCACUGGUUGUCUUGAAGCUAAGAGGGUCUUUGAAUUUACACGUCCCAUAUAUGAUCUCCUCACCCAAUUUAAAGGAGAUUCUCUUCGAAGAUUUCACAUUAGCAAGUGAUGAUUUAAUGAGAAGAUUGUUCAAAGUUAUAAGCUACUUGAAGAUUUGUCGCUAUUUGGGUAGAGAUUUGAGCAUGUUGAUGUUCUUUAUCUUUCACUCCUUUCCUUCGAAAACUUUCUUUCGAUCACAGUUUUGGACACAAGAAACUAAACUUGUAAUUGAUACAUUAGAAGAACUAAAGCCUCUUGCAAGAGCGAAUAUUUCUUUGCAAAUGACUGCGUAAAAUCAAGAGAACGUAGAUGAGUUUAUCAAUGGGAUGCAUGAAAUCAAAUCAAUUUAUUUAUCAUUUGUAAUCUAGAGGUAAAAAAACUAAGCUUUAUUAUCUACUCCACAACGUAUUAUGAGUAUAGAAAAAUUUAUAUUCAAAUUACAAAUACAUCUACUAAACUACCUUUGACUGUGUUUGAUCACGUCCAAGUGCAAUAGUUAUGCUUGCGUCUAUCAAACUCUAUAGCAGCCCGUUCUAAAUAGCUCAGGCACCUAUCUAUGUUAGUUCGAAAAUUUGGGCCCACAAACUGGAACAGUUUUACAAAAAUGACGACAAUCAUUCAUGAUUUUGAUCAUCAUGAGUAUAUAUAUAUAUAUAUAUUAGGAUGGCAAAAAAAUUCUAUAAAACCCGAUAUCUGUGAGGUCCCACCCCAAACCAAGCAGGAAUUACCCGCUUAAUCCGAUAUUCAAGUCGGGUACGGGACGGGGGAUUUCCCUAUGUUUAACUUUUUUUAUUUUUUUAACGGGGAAUUUCGCUCUACUUAAAUUUUUUUUUUAAGAAUUCAAUAUUUUAAAAGGAAAGCUCCACGAAAUUUUAUUAAUUCUAAUAAAAGAUAUAAACUAAAAUUAUCUAAAAAAUAUGAUAAACAAUAAAAAUCUUAAUUUACUAAAUAUAUUCGAAUAAUUUAACUUUUAAAAAUAAACUAAUUAAUUAAAAAUUUUAAUAACUAUAUUAUUGUCUUACUUUAAUAAAUGGGAGCAAUAAAAUUGAUUAUAAAAAAAAAAAGACUAAACAAGUAUGUAAACGAGACAAGGGCCCAAACCCGCCCCGCCCUACCCCACCUUAAAUGCGUAAUAGGGUGGGUACGGGCCCUGCCCCGACUUGAAUUUGCCCCGUUACCAUCCAUAUUAUUUGUUUUAUUGCACUUUAUAUUGUAUUAAUUUUUCUGAAGAUAUGUCAACAUAACAUGAUAUUAGGAUAGAUACGACCAGCGACGGAUCCAACACCCGGUGAGGGGGUGCGGUUGCCCGUGCUGGAUCCAUUGGUAGUUUCACUUGCCGUCGGGCACCAAGAGAGAAGCUUUCAUAGUUGCAAAGAAGUCACAAAUUGAAACCAUGGAGGCGGGAUUUUGGGAAGAAGAUAGACAACCAUGGGUUAUGUUUUUUAUUUUUUUUAUUUUGGGCCUCCUAUUAAGCUGUUGGUUUUUUAAAAAGUGGAAAUUACACAAAUUAAUAGAUUUAAAGAUCCCAUUUCAUAAAUCAUAGGUGAAGUUUACUAUUUCAAAAAUCAGAUAUUUUAUUAAUUAAUUAGUAUAUUUUAAAUAUUAAUAAUUAUAUUACAAAAUUAAAUAUACAUAUUCAUCCUACCAAACCCUAAAUUCAUCUUCAUUCAUCCCUUUCAUUUUCUCUCUCUAUAUCUCACCUCCGUCUUCGUUCCUUUCAUUUUUUGUCUCUAAAUUCAUAGGCCGUCAAUUCGUCAAACUAGAAUAUAAUACAAUUUAAUUAUUAAUUGUGGAAUAUUAAAUAACUCGAUUCAUCAAUUUUUGCAAUUUUAGCCUCUUAGGAGAGAAAUGAUUACCUUUGAAAUCAAUGCGACGUUUCAUUGUGAUCGACGAAGGUGAUGGUGACUUGAACAAGUCAAGAACAGAGAUCGGACUUGGUUGCAGUCAUUUUGGCUGUGCUAUUGAGCAAUUUAUCACACCUAUCUAGAAACAAUGGAAGAUUCAUCCUCUAUGACGAUGGUGGUGAUUUUCUCUUUCCGACGACUCUCCACUGUGGAUUUCUUAUUCCUAGUCGAUCAAUUCAUGACGGUUUGAAGUGAUCCUCUUUUUCUUGUGUCCAACUUCGGCGAGUGAAUGUGAGAAAGUCUAAUUCUUUGUUGACUCGUUAGCUCUACUACGAGUUUCAGCGUUUAACGGCUUAGGUUUGUUGAGCGAGUUUGACCGCUUCUCAUUACUCUUACUCCAAGCUAGUGCGCUUGAGCUUCUAGCUUGCCUCGUAGGGCUCCUAACUUUUUUCAUUGAUCACAAGUCAGCAGCAGUGAUAUGGUGGUCACAAGUGUUGUGGUGAUCACAAAUUAUUUGGUUGACUGUGACCAUUAAAGUAGUUAAUAUGUGACCAGUAAAAAAUAUGUGGCUAAUAAAAAAUAUAAAUUGUGACCAAAAAAUAACGUGUGACCUAAGAAAUUGUUAAUAUGUGGCCGAUAAUUUAAUAAUUUUUUACUUUGUAAUAAGUUAUGACUUAUAAUAUUUGUAAUUUGUGAUCAAUAAAUAAACUGUGACCCAUAAUUUUGUUCAUUUGUGAACGAUGGACAAACUGUGACUUAUAAAAAUUUUAAAUUCUGAUCGUAAAAUAAUUUAUAACAUAAAAAUUUUGAUUUUGUGACUAAAAAAUAAUAAGUGACUAACUAAGUCAUUAAUUUGUGAUCAAAUUGUAUAAAUUUGUGACUUAAAUAAAUUUAAUUAAUUAAUUAAAUCAUAAAUAAAUUUUAAUAAAAAUCUGAUUUUUGAAGUUUGAAACUUGUUUCUUGAUUUUGAAAUGUGUGAUACUUAAACUUUCUCUAUUAAGAAAUUAGGCCCAAUUUUGAAAGAAAUGGAUUUGGGCCGGUGAUUGAUUUUUGAAAAGAAAUUGUAAGCUCUUCCAAAUUGUUUGGAAAACCUUCCUCUAUGAUGUGGUGAUCAACAACUUUGAAGUAUCUUUAUAUUCUUGAGCAACCCUGGGUCACGCCUACUAUUGAAGAUCACUCCUUGAAAACAGAAACAACAUAUCUCGCAACUUUGAGUGUUGAAGGUGAGUAAUCUGCUUGAUGAUUUUGGGAUUUUCUUGAAUCUGUUAUUUGGGGAGUUUGAUUUUGGACAAAAUGUGUUUGAGAGGAAAUAAGGGUUUUGAUAAAGGGCUGCAAUUACAAGGUUUUCCAUGAUUUAUUGUGUAUUAAAGUAGUGCUUUCUUUUUUUUUUUUUUUUCUUUUUUUGAUUGAUUCGUGCCGUCAAACAUUAUAAUAAAUGUGUUGGGGUUUUUUUUUUUUCUUUUUUUGAUUGAUUCGUGCCGUCAAACAUUAUAAUAAAUGUGUUGGGGUUUUUUUGUUUUCAUUUUUUACUGCUAAAAUUGCAGCAAAUCAUUAUAAUAAAUGUGUUGGAAUAUCUCGCGAUUUUGGCUCAUUGUUCAUUUCAAUUUAUCUCUCUUCUGGCAUCUUUACACUUUUGUUUUAAUGUAUAUGCAUUUUCAUAGUUCUGAUAGAUGUCUUAAUAGUGUGGUUGGUUGAUAGAGUGGAUUGGAUUGACCGGUCACCAGAUGAUCUUAAGAAAGAAAACAAAAAAACUAAAACUUUGUCCCUCGUAUUGUUAAAUGUAUCCAGUUCUGUGCACCAAAAAUUUUCUAUUCACCAGCAAUUUCACCAAUGCUGUCAAUUUUUUCUUGUUCCUUUAAGUCAUGAAGGGGAAUUUAUCAGAAAAAAUUUCUCCGAUUUGCCGUAGCUAAACUCGAAUCCUAGAUACGACCAAUAUAAAUUGCAAAUAAACCCAAAAGGCCCAUUAUAUGUCUCAUCGUUUCUCACUGAAUAUUGGCGUUAUUUGCUAUAGCUGCUAUAAUGGAUCUGCCUGUUAGAAUGUGUGGGGUAAAUUUUUGUUAGAUAAAUUUUUCAAUAAUGUAAAUAUUGAUUAUGGCCUUGAUAUUUCCUUUAUACAUUUUCUUUUAUUGAGAUAUAUAUUGGUUGCACUGGCCUUCCCAUUGAUGAUCUUGAUUCUUGAAUAAUUCUUUAUUGACUAUAAUGCACAUUUUUCUUGAGGUAAUCUAUGAUUUAUAAUUACAUGUAAAAAUAUAUAUAUAUUGAUAUUCUACGACAUUGACAAUUACAAUAAAAUAAGCAUUCAACAAUUUUAUGUCAUCCCCAUUCCGAUGAUCUUCGCUCAAAACUUGGAUUCACUCCCUUAUUAUUCUUGUUUGAAUAUCUUUACUAUGUGAGAUUCCCUUAUUUUUAGGAAAAAUUGUAGUCAAUGUACCAAACCUUUACUUUAUUUGCAGACUUUGUUCGAACAUUUCAUUUGUGUCACCGUAAGUACCCAAGCUUUAAAAAAUCUGCACUUGGAUAGAAACCGUUACUUUUUCCAUUGAUUGACCAAAAAUUAAAUGUCUGACCAUUGUUGACUAAUUUUCAAGAGCAAAAAGGUAACUUUACAUUUUUUUUCAUACAAAAAAGCUAAAAUAAAAGGAAUUAAAUAAAUAAAUAAAUCAUAUUAUCUUCUCUACUCACCCACCCCCUUCCUGAAACCAAAACCAAGAGCACGAAAACGCCGACACCCAGCACCUUCGUCUCCAACCUUGCUUGGCAUCACCAUCCAACAAUCACCAAUCGAAUCUUCUCCCAGGAGGAUAAACGCCUUCAAUCAAAACCCAAGCAUUUAUCCUAAUAUAAACUCAUGCAUAACUUUCUUGGAAACCCAUCUCUAGUUUUGAUUCAGAAUUUGGGGAAAUUAAGGAAAAAUGAUGACAACUGAAGGGAUGAUGGAUAGAAUGGGUGUUGGAUGAUAUAAUAAGGGGGCUUUUGGAAGGCAGGNNNNNNNNNNNNNNNNNNNNNNNNNNNNNNNNNNNNNNNNNNGAAUAGGUGCAGCUUUCAAAGGUGGAGAUCUGGCAACUUUCGGAGGCAGAGAUGAUUGGAUAAAUUUCUAUCUUAAACCCAUCUCAACUGCCAUACUACAAAUUCUUCAUACAGUGAACUAAGAGCUACAAUUGAAAAGUGAAGGAAUUGUGUAAUUUUGUCUUUGCCUUCCUCAACAAAACUCUGCAAUACUAUGUCCAUGUCUGAAAUCUAGAUUUCAAACUCUACAUUUCCUUCUCAAGAUUUGUAGAAGGAGUGGUGGUGUCGAUGGAUUUGGUGGCAAUCAUGAUUGGUGGAUUUGAAGGUGGAAGGUGGCAGUGGUCCGAUGGCUGUGAUUUCGGAAAGAAGAAGGGUCUUCCCUUUUCUAUUAUACUUUUUUUUAUAUUUGUAUUAAUUAUUACAGCAUUACCUUUUUGUCCUUGAAAAUUAGUCAACAAUGGUCAGACCUUUAAUUUUUGGUCAAUCAACGGAAAAAGUAAAGAUUUUUGUCAAUUUGGAUUCCAAGUGCAGAUUUUUUAUAGAUUUGGUAUUCACGGUGGCACAAAUGAAAAGUUUAGACAAAAUCUGCAAACAAACAAAAGGUUUGGUACCUUGACUGCAAUUUUUCCUACUUUUUAUGCUUGAUUUAAGGAUAUUUUUAUAGAAAAAGUACAUAACUACAUUACUUUAAUUAUUCAAUUUCUUAUUUAACAAACUUACAAAAAUAUUUCAAAAAUCAGAUGAUAAAUUAUAUUAAUUUAUUAUAUUUUUCUAAUAUUGUAGUAAAUGAAAUUUAGGAAUAUUAGUCUAAUUUACAAUAUUUCCAUUAACAAUAUCGUAUCAUAAUAUACAAUAAUUUAACUAUUAAGAUAAUUGUUUCUCUCACCUCCAACUUUCUUUCUUUUACAGAGACUCUCUUGGGGUUCCAAAACUAUGAAAUUUUUUUUGCAAAAAUCAGGCAAUCAAAUUUUGUAACAUCUGAUAAAAUUGGUAACAUAUAAUUAAAUUAAACAGGCCGCGAUCCCAAUAAGUCAAUAAAUUAUAAUUUACCGUCACAAUGCAAAUAACACACAAUCACAAAAAUAUAAUUUGUAUAUCAUAAUUACAAAUUUAGUUGUAAAUUACUCACUUUUAUUUGUCACGAAUUAUCAAAUUAACUCGUUACAAUCACUAUUCAUCGCACCCUAUCCUAUUUCAUCACCAUUGACACCACCCAAAUCAUUGUUACUACCUCAAAUCUACAACCUACAACCACUUUCACAUUCACCUCAAAUCCACGAAAACCGAUGACAUCUCAACCUCCAUUGCCGCCGCCACCACCCUUCGUCGCGGGAAAAAAAAACUAAUGCAAAAACCACCAAAAAGAUCAACAUUUUAAAUUAUCUAGAAAUAUGUCAAUAAUUAUUCGUAGUUAUGAAUAGUCAUCAAAUCUGGUGUUAAUGUAGCAUUAUUAUUUGCCCAAGGCACUUCAAAUCUGGUGUUAAUGCUGCUAACGUCGAUGAUAACUUUUUUCUCUUGAAUUGAUUUCAACAAAAAGCUAUAGUGCAAUACGUAUGACGAUGUUGAAACAACUAUAGAGCUCCUCUAGGUAAGGGAGCUCAAUAUGAUUGCCUUCAUUAUAUAUAUAUAUAUAUAGAGAGAGAGAGAGAGAGAGAGAGAGAGAGAGAGAGCGUGCAUUUGUUGAGAAAUAAAGUGUUUAGUAGAGAGAGUUGAUAAUAAUGUAGCCAAAAAGUAUUUUUACAAUGGAAUGGACCGCGGAUAGCAGAGAAUAAUCUUGCAUAGGUACUUACGUAUAAUAAAUAUCACUACAAUAUAAAAGAGUCUAACCCUUUGGCACUGUUCAUUCCGGACACAUGUCUCAAUUUCCCGUUGUUCAAGCAUUAUGAUGUCGUUAGGAGAAAUUUUAAAGUUGCCCUAAUUGCUCUCCUUCAAGGCAAUAAAUCCUCUCAUCUCUUGCUCUCUUCCAGAGGAAAUGACUCCGGUCACUAUUUCUCGGCAACAUAAAUAAGCCGUUGUUGCCUCAUCGUCAUAAUCACCACCAGGGAAGGAGUCACCUCAAGUAGACAAUCAACUACUUGAUUCAGAUUUUAUAGUGAUACUAUUGACACUUCUCUUCAUACUAAUCUGUGUUCUUGGCCUUUUCGUCUAUUGAUACUAUCGAAAAUUCCGCUCUCCAUCAUCGUCUGUCUCUCCGCCACUACCUUCUCCUUAAGUGUCAUCGAUGCCUCUACCAUGUGAGCCCUUCCUUUUCUUUUUUAUUUAUUUUUUUGAGCUUUUAGUAUAUUUUUAUAGAUUUAGUAUUGUCAUUUGUGAACUAUGAUGAAUAAUGAAAUUAAUGAUGAAUUUUCAAUGAGUUGUUUGGAAUUCUAUGAAUUUCAAAGGAAAUGGAUUGUAUGGAAACCGUGGGUUUGGGUUGGUUUUGAUUCCCAUGUGCGAAAAAUGGUGUUUCUCGAAACACUCUAAAAGAGUGCUAUUUCUGUUAAUUGGUCUAUUUCGUCUAUUUAAAUAAACCUGCCUAAUGGGCAAAUAUUGGUUGGCCGGUUGAUGAUCACUCGGACUGCGCUAGUUUAGACCCUUUUUGGACCGUUAGAUUUAAUCAAGGGUUGAGAUGAUGCCAUGGAAAAUGAAGCGUCCUUUUUCUUGCCCAAAAGUUAUGAGGCUUUGUGAUACUUCAGAUUUUUCAUCUUCUCUCUUCUUCGUCUUUUUGGGUUUGAAAUUUUUCUUCUCUAUUUAUAAGGUUUUUGCGAUUGAUCAAAUAGAUUUUUUAGGUCUUGUGUACAAUCAGGCUUGAGAUAUUGGCUGAUCUUGUAUUGUUAAACUCUGAAAAUGUUUGGUUGAUUUGUUUGGUAGAUUUGUGUAUGUUUCAUGAGAUCGAUUCGAUCAAUGAGUGAAACCUUGUGGCCUGAAUGGUUCUUGGUGUACUCUUGCUCUCUUGAACGGUAGAUUGUGCCAUAGUGGAAUGGGCUGUCCCUGAGCCCCCAGAUUAGGCCUAUUUUGGCUUAAUUUGGUCAACAUUUUUUCGUGUUCUUGUGUUCGUUUUAUGAUUCUUUGUGUAUGAUGUUUGUUUUUAUUUCAAAUCUUUUUAAAAAUCAACAGUAAAUUCCCAAAAAAAUUGGUAUCAAAGCCUCAAGGUUUCUGGGUUCAAUAUUUUUUUGUGAAACAUCUUUUCUGGGUCAUUUUGGUUCUUCAAUCUGUGUAGAUCUUUUCUGAUCUACACACAUACAGUUUGGUAUCUUGUCUAUUUUUUUAUAAAUUUGUUUACUAAUCAGUUUGUUUUUGUAAAAGUAAUGAAGGUGACAAACAGAGGCUUUGGUUGUUGGUUUGAUUUCAUGCAUUGUAUCAAUAAUAUUGUCUCGACAGUAUUGGUAAGAUCUGUCCAUAAUACUUUGUGAUUUCAAUUGGACAUUUAUUGUUUGGAAUACAUGCACAUAUCGAUAUAUGUUGUUCUGGAUUUUGUGAAUUAGUAAUAUAUAUAUAUAUAUAUAUAUAUAUAUAUAUAUAUAUAUAUAUAUUUAUAUAUUGAGCCUGUUUUGUACCUUGAUAUAUAUUUGACUGGAGUUCUUGUAUAUCUGAUUAAAUUGGUAUAAAGAUAUACUAUCGAAUACUUGCUCAAUCUCUAAAAAGUUUUUUGGAACUUUGGUUUCUUGAAACUAUUUACUAUAAAAAAAAUUCAAAAACCUUUUUUACAAAAUCCAUGAGUUUAAGCCAAUCUUUUACAAAAUCUAUAAUGGGUUUGAAGGUCAAAUUGUUCCAUUUCAAUGGAAAUGGGGAUUACUCUGUAUGGAAGCAAAAAAUGGGAGCCAUCUUGGUCCAACAGAGGGUUGCAAAGGCUCUCGAUGAUCCUGAAACUUUUUCUUUUAAGUUAAAAGCAAAACCUGCUAAAAUUGAAGAAAUGAAUGAAAUUACCUAUAGCUCUAUAAUUUUGCAUUUAUCUGAUAAUGUGGUUAGACAAGUUAAUGAUUCCAAAACUGCAAGAACUUUGUAAAAUGCCUUGGAUGAUUUGUUUUAAACCAAGACUCUUCCUAACAAGAUAUAUUUGUUAGAAAAACUAUUCAGUUUCAAAAAGGACCAAGAAAAGGAUUCGGAAGUCAAUUUAAGUGACUUCAGCAUAAUUGUUAAAAGUCUUGCACAAAAUAAUAAAAAAAUUGAAGAUGAGGACUUGGCUGUUAUACUAUUGAAUUCACUGCCUGAAUCUUAUAAAGAUGUUAAGAAUGCCAUAAAAUAUGCUAGGAACACACUUACACAAGCAAUUGUGAUCGAUACCUUAAGGUCAAGAGAGUUAGAUGUGAGGAGAGAAAAUAGAACCAACUCAGUAGAAGGAAGCUUAUUUGUAACGGAAGAACUAAAAAGAAAGGAUUUAAUUUCCAAAACAAGAAGGGAAGGGAAAGAUCUAAAUCCAAAGAUAGAAGUAAUAAGAAGUGUUAUAACUGUGGAAAAUUGGGACACUUCAAGAGGGAUUGUUUUGAGUGAAAAAAGAAACAAAAAGAUCAGAACAAUAAUGAUCAGAAUAAUGAAGCCAGUGACUGACUUGGACAGUCUACAUGUACUAAAUGUGUCAACUGAAAACUCUAGUAAAGAUUGAAUUCUAGAUACUGGAUAUACCUUUCAUAUGUGCCCUGAAAAACAUGGUUUUAUAAUUACAAUGAAAUAGAACUAGGAAAAGUGUAUACGGGAGAUAAUAAUUCUCGUAUUGUGAUUGGCACUGGUGACAUUGCUAUAAAAAUAUUUGAUGGCAUUGUCAAGUCAAUAAAAAAUGUGAGAUAUAUCCCAAAUCUGAAAAGGAGCCUUAUUUCACUAGGGAUACUUCAAUAUGAGGGAUAUAGCUUUAAAUCUGAUAAUAAAACUCUGAAAAUUAUGAAGGACUCUUUAGUAGUGAUGAAAGGACCUAAAAGAAAUGGUUUAUACUAUCUAGAGGGAAAAAAUAGUUAUAUCGCCUUAUUCAAAUGUAUUGACUGUAAAUGAAGAUAAAUCUGGUCUUUGACACAAUAGAAUGGGACACACUGGAAAUAAAUGGCCAAAAUCUUUAAGUAAUCAAAAAUUACUUGGAAACGAUGACAUUGAGCCCAUAGACUUUUGCGAGACUUUUGUGUUGGGUAAGCCCAACAAAAUUAGUUUUGAAUCCAGCUCACAUGGGACCAAUAGGCCCUUAGACUAUGUACAUGCUGAUCUCUAGAGUCCUGAAAAGCAUUCCACUUUUGGUAGAAGUAAGUAUUUCUUAUUCCUCGUAGAUGAUUAUUCUAGGAAGGCUUGGAUUUAUCCUUUAAAGGCUAGGUCAGAAACCUUUCAGAAGUUCAGGACAUGGCUAAGAAUUGUUGAAAAUCAAUUAGAGAAAAAAAACUAAAAACUCUAAGAACUGAUAAUGGGCUGGAGUUCUGUAAUGCAGAAUUUGAUAAUUUCUGUAAGCAGAAAGGGAUAUUGAGGCAUAGGACUGUGAAAUACACAACCCAACAAAAUAAGGUAGCUAGGAGAAUGAACAGGACUAUAAUGAAUAAGGUUAGAUGCAUGCUUAUCAGUUUUGGUGUGGCUAAAGUUUUGGGCUGAAGCUGCCUAUACAAUAGUCUAUUUGAUUAAUAGAUCUUUUUCUAGUAGUGUAGACUUCGAAACCCCACAAGAACUAUGGACAGGUGAAUCCCAAAACUUAACCCAUAUAAGAGUUUUUGGAUGUGCAGUAUAUGCAAUUCAAUCUGAAGGAAAAUUGGAACCUACAACCACCAAAUGUGUGAUGCUAGGAUAUCCAGAAGAUGUUAAAGGCUACAGGUUGUGGGUUUUCGGUGUUCCAUGCAUUAAGAUUAUCAAUAGGAGAGAUGUAAUCUUCAACGAAUUAGAAAUUUCAUGCCUAAAACAAAAAUUUAAAGGAACAAAUGAAUUUGAAAAUAAUAAGAUAUUCAUAGUGAGGUGAAGUUAACUAAAUUUAACUUACCUCAACCUGAAGAUGAUGAAAAUACUACUAUUUAUCAUCAGAAUGAACCUGUUCCUGAAUGUGUUGAAGCUAAAGAACCCUAAUUUGAGGCUGAACUUGAAGAACCUGAACAAAUUACCGAACAUACUGAUAUUCAAGAUUGUCAACUCAUUAAGGAUAGGGUAAGAAGACAACCUAGACAUGAUCCUAGGUAUGAACUAUUAAAUCUAAUAGACUUUGCCUUAGUCUCUAAAGAAAAAAUAGAACAAGCUGAACUUGCCUCUUAUGAAGAAGCAAUUCAUGGGAAAAAUUCUGAAAAUUGGAUAAAGGCCGUGAGAGGGGAGAUGCAGUCCUUAAAUGAAAAUAAAACUUGGAAGCUUGUUAGAAAACUAAAGGAUCAUAGGGUAGUACAAUGUAAAUGGAUUCACAAACUUAAAGAGGGCAAUAGCCCAACUAAUAUUUUUAGGUUUAAGACUAGACUAGUGGCAAAGGGGUAUACUUAGAAAGAAGGGGUUGAUUACAAUAAGAUAUUCUUACCCGUAAUCAAAUAUAAAAUCAUCAGAUUGAUACUAGCACUAGUUCUCAAAUAUAAUUGGGAACUUGAACAACUUGAUGUGAAAAUCGCCUUCUUCCAUGGAAAAUUAGAAGAGGAUAUCUUCAUGAGCCAACCUCAAGAUUUUGAGAUUAAGGGCAAGAUUGAUUAUGUAUGAAAACUUGAAAAAUCAUUGUAUGAACUGAAACAAAGUCCUAGACAAUGGUAAAAAAGGUUUGAUGCAUAUGUAUUAAGAAGUGAAUUUGAUGCUUGCUUGUACUAUAACAACCUGAAAAGUGGUGGUGAAGUUUACUUACUAUUGUAUGUGGAUGAUAUGCUUCUGGCUAGUCCUGAUAAGUCUCAAAUUACAAGAUUAAAGGAUCUUUUGAAAUAUGAAUUUGAUAUGAAAGACUUAGAAUGUGCUAGAAAAAUCUUAGGAAUGGUUAUAAAGAGGAAUGGACUUGAAAAUAGACUAACAAUUACACAAGAAAUAUAUCUAAACAAAUUAGUAACCAGGUUUGGAAUGAAAGAUAGUAAAUUUGUUAAUGUACCCCUUGCAGACCACAUGAACCUAUCUAAAUCUCAGUCCCCUAAAUCUGAAGAAGUAAAGGAAAUGGAAAACAUACCCUAUGUAAAUGCAAUAGGCUCUGUAAUGUUUUCAAUGAUAACCACCAUACCUGACCUUGCUUAUGCAAUCAGAUUCUUAAAUAGAUUUAUGUCCAACCCUGACAAGGCUCAUUAGGCAGGAAUGAAAUGGUUGCUUAGAUAUAUUGUUGUUACAUUAAAUCUAGAACUAGUUUAUGAGAAAAGAUUUGAAAAUGUAACCCUAAAAGGUUAUGUAAAUGCUGACUUUGCUGAUGACAAAGACAGUAGGAAAUCAACUAUAGCUUCUUCUUCUUUUCUUUUUUUUUUCUUUUUUUUUUUGUACUCUUAGGAAAAGUUGCAUAACUUGAAAAUCUCAAUUGCAACCAUUAGUUACAUUGUCUAGGACGGAAGCUGAGUAUGUAGCCAUAAUUGAAGCUGUGAAAGAAUGUAUUUUGUUAAGGGAGAUUUUAAAAGAACUGAACGUUAUGAAUCAUACUCUUGUUAUAUAUACAAAUAGCUAGAGUGCUCUAUUACUUUGUGAAAAUCCUGUCUAUCAUGAAAGAUCAAAAUAUAUUGAGAUGAAGUAUCAUUUUAAAAGAGAACAACUAUCUCAAGGAAAAGUUAAAUUGACUAAAGUUCGUAUCGAUAAAAAUCCUUCUCAUAUGGGGACCAAAGUUUUGCCCAUAUGUAAGUUUAAAAUAUGUUUACUCUUGCUUUAUAUUGACACAGGUUAAUUUUCUUUUGCAGGUCUUAGGGAAAUGAUGAUGGAUAGUAGUUCCACGGGCACUUUCAGCAACCAGAGAACGAGUGCUGUUGAGAAUCAAGGUGAAGAACGUGAACAUUUGUGUUUCUUCAAACACUCUAAAAGAGUGCUAUUUCUGUCAAUUGGUCUAUUUCACCUAUUUAAAUGAACAUUCCUGAUUGGCAAAUACUGGUUGGCCGGUUGAUGUUCACUCGGACUGCGCUAGUUUAGACCCUUUCUGGACCGUUGGAUUUAAUCAAGGGUUGAGAAGAUGCCUUGGAAAAUGAAGCGUUCUUUUUCUCGGACAAAAGUUACGAGACUUUUUGAUACUUCAGAUUUUUCAUCUUCUCUCUUCUGGUUUUCUCUCUUCUUCGUCUUUUUAGGUCUAAAAUUUUUCUUCUCUAUUUGUAAGGUUUAUAUGAUUGAUCAAAUGGAGUUUGUAGGUCUCGUGUACAGUCAGGCCUGAAAUAUUGGCUGAUCUUGUAUUGUUAAACUCCAAAAAUGUUUGGUUGAUUUGUUUGAUCAAUUUGAGAAUGUUUCAUGAGAUCGAUUCGAUCACUGAGUGAAACAUUGUGGUUUGAGUGGUUAUUGAUGUACUCUUACUCUCUUGGACGGUAGAUUAUGUUAUAGUGGAAUGGGCUAUCCCUGAGCCCCCCAAAUUAGGCCUAUUUUUGUUGAACCAGGUCAAUAUUUUUGGUGUUCUUGUGUUCAUUUUAUGAUUCUUUGUGUGUGAUGUUUGUUUUGAUUUCAAAUCUUUUUAAAAAUCAACCAUAAAUUCCCAACACUAUGCCUUUAGGUUUUAGUGGAGUGAUAGGUAGGGAGAGGUUCACUGAUGAGAAAUGAAGGAAGCAGCAAAUGUUGGAAUUGGAGGUUUUCCCAAAGAGGUUGGAGUUGGUGCAGGAUCAGAUUAUAGCAUAAUUUGAGGAAAACUCAGGUCUAUAUGGAGCUUUUUUUUUUCAUUUUUUUUUUUUUUUGCAGCUUUUUUGUUCCAAGUUCAUUUUUGACAUUUAGAUAUUAUAUAUCUGUUUGUAUUUAUGGUACAUAUAUUUUGUACAAGUGAUAUGUAAUUAUGGAUUCUCGCAGAUCUUGUUGAAAAUCAUUUUGGGUUUAUAAACUUCCUCUCAGCUUAUUUUGUUGUCAGUCAGGUAAAGAGGAAAAUUGUUGGGUUUUUUCAAUUUGAUCUUAUCAGAAAAUUGUUGUUUGUUUUGACAUAUGGAUUUUGCAGUUUUAUGAAAAAAUGAAUUUGAAAUUUAUUUUACUGGGGUGUUAUUCAUUGAGUUAUUGUUUAGAAGUGAUUACUUGGUUUUUAUGAACAUCUGAUGGCGUGAAUGGUUUGGUUAUAUGAGUUUUUGACUGAUUGCAAUGGAGGACGUGUCUAAUUAUGUUAAGAAAAGCCUUGAGUAGAUCACAUGCUAUACUUAUUCUUCGUUUUGGGAGAAAAAUAUGAUUUUUGUUGUCUUUUAGGGAUGGGUAGGUUGUGUGAUGAAAAGUUAAAAUUAAGCUGUUGUGAGAAUUUGUUAACUUACAAUCAGAAAUUAAUUUUUAUUUUGUUAAUAUUUCUCCUUUUUUUUUAUAUUUUUUCAUUUCUCUGUCUCAUCUCUCUAAUUUUUAUGUAGGUAUAUGUUUAUUGUACUUUAUGUAACCAUGUGUUUUCUGUUUCUAUGAAUUCUGGUUUCAAUUUUUUGUUCUCUUGAAUUAAUCAUUAUUUUUCUUAAAAUUUUGAUUGAUUAUAGAGUUUCGUUUCAGAUUUACAUAAACUAACCAUCGUAUUAAUUUUGUUAAAAGAUAGUCGUCUUCUAUAAAAAUUAAUGAAAUUUCAUGGAGUUUUCCAUUUAAAACAUUGAAUUCUUAACAAAACAAAAACUAAAUAAAAAUUAAUGGGGCGGGGGCAAGUACGGAUAACGGGGCGGAAUUCCCCGCCUCGAAUACCCCCGAUUAAGCAAGUAAUCACCAUCCCAUUUGAGACGGGGCCUUAGGUAUCGGGUUUGGCUAUUUUUUUCUAUCCCAACAUUGAAAUUAGGUUAUUGUUGAUAGAACUAUGAAAUUUCCUCUUUAUUUUUUCCUUCCAAUCUGUGUAAUCUGCCACCAGGGAGUCCAAGUCCAUUUAGCUUCUGUUUGGCCCCCCAUUAAUUUCCACUUCAUUACAUUUCAUUUUUUUCUCUCCUAUUUUCAACCACACAAUCUUUCGUAAAAUAAUAUUACACAUAAAUUAAAAACAUAUUCUUUUUCAACCACACAUUAAAAAAAUAUAUAUAUUCUACCCAUUUUCAUUUCCACAAAAUGAGGACCAAGUGGGAUAGACUUCAUUCCACUUUAACAAUUGGGUCAAGGCCCCCAAUUAAUGUAUUAUUUCUCUCAAGGGCUCAUUUCUUCCAAAUACUGUAAUUUAGUUCUUGAUAAAAAUUAAUUUGUGCAAUCCAUGUCCUCUUUAAUUCAAUUUAAGCCCUUCAAUUUCUAAAGAGUGAAAUUUGAUCCCCCAAAGCAGCAAAUUUUAUUCAAUUUCGUAUUUCUUGAUCAAUAUUUGCUUUGAUCCCGAGUUUUCUCCUAACAUAAUCCAAACACAAAUAAUUAAGUAUCAAAUUCACAAUAAUACUAACAAAUGCCCAUUUCGUGGCUUAGAUAAGUGUAAAUUUUACACUUAUUAGGAGUAUGUAAAUGAUUUCUAUUAAAUGAAAAUUAUAGUAACUAGUUGACGCUGAAAUACAUAUACUAGCAAACACAUAACAGCGAAUCGAUGAAAAUAACUUCGAAUUUGUCAUUGUGUUAAACACACUUUACGGAAUGUGGAAUGUCCCUAUAACAAAUUUUCCAAGAAAAUGUGAGAAUCUUUUUCAUGAAUAAGUUAGGAAACAAGAAAGGAUUAAACUAAUUGGAGAAGGGAUACAAGUUUUGGCAAAGAAAAAUUAUUCAAAUUAAAAGGCACGACUAUUUCCAAAAGAAGUUAAAAGAUAAUAUCUUUUAACUCAACCACCUUAUGAAAUUCAAAUUUUGUUCUAAUUUCUUCCUUCUAUAUCAUUUCAAGAGAGACGAUAUAAUUUCUUCAUUCAUACUCCAACAUAUUUAACUUCAUCAUUAUUCAAUAUAUGCUAGUGCACAUUACAUAAUUAAGACAGCAAACAUUAUACAACAUUACACUCUCAAACCACUUCUAAAUUUACAUAUUUAUUGGCAUCAUAUUCAUCCACGAAGUUGUAUAUAUAACGCGUAAAUGCUACACUUUGUCGAGCUAGAUUCAGCUUGGAGGCUUAAUUUAAGGUUGUGCAUCCCUCAUUCCACCAGCAUUCUUGCUGCCUCCUCCACCUCCGGACGAACCUCCUUUUGUAUAGCCUGCAGGAUAACCUCCACCUCCAGGAUAGCCUCCUGGAUAGCCUCCUGGAUAGCCAGGCCACCAACCUCCAGGUCCUGGCCAAUACUCUUAUUCACAAAAACAUUAACACAAUUCAUGUUAGCCAUUAAUACAUGUAUACUAUAUUAAUUUAUGCUCAUCAUAAAACAAAUUUAUAAAACACAGAACUUACGAUGAUCUGCUGUCGCUUUUGAUGUAAUCAGAAGAACUACAGCCAAGAAAAUGCAAAAAGUAAUUGUCUUGGAGCCCAUUUUUCUCUCCAAGAAUUUUCUUAUACUUUUUCUUAAUGAGUAUUUUGGUGUGUCAAGCCUCUAUUUAUAGCUAAAAUCUGGACAGAAAAGAGAGAGAGAGAGAGAGAGAUUUGCUAUUUGAGGUAAGUAGAGUACGUCUUGACUUGGUCUACCUUAUCCUCGACCUUUCAGGGUUUACUUGUUUGCAUUAGGGGGGAAAUAGAGAUGAUCAUGUAGUGCCGAAUUUCACCAACCGUCGAAAUUUAAUAUCAUAAAUAAGUUAAUGUCACACGAUGAAGUGCCUAAUUUAUUUUCAAUAUAUCCUAUAACUUAGUCGAGAAUAGUCUGCAUACAAGGGCCUGUUCUAUGUGAUCUAAUACCAUAUUUUUCUAUUUUCUUGUAGUUUAUUUCAGAAAAUUGACGCAGAUCGUUGUGCUGCGGAUUAUUUGCACUGCAACUUCAUAGGUUAGAGGCCAUUUGCGUCAAUUAUCGUUUUGUUUCUAGUGACCCCGGAAAUGAGUCGUCUGCGGUCGCGUUAGGGUAGGCACAGUAAAUAGAUUGUCAUUUAGCAGAUGAUAUCCAUUCAAAUGGACAAAAGGUCAGAUGGGUCCAAAUUCAGUAACUGUUGUUUAAAGCUAUUCAUAUUAAAUAAAAUAAUUUCUUUUUUUAGUAAUAUUAUUAGCAGUCGUUCACUGUCGUAGUCAUCUUACGUGGCAUACAUAUGGUGGUUACUAAUUUGAUACAUUAAUAGGAUAAUCUUUUAUUGUUUUAUGUAUCUAAUCACUAACCAAUACAUAUUUACCAUGUACGGCGACUGCGAUAAUAAACAGCAACUACAAAUAGUAUUAUUCCUUUUUUUUUCUCAUUUCACAAUCAGACUUGAGUGAGAUAUUUCUAGCACAAUUCUCACGGUUUGAAGGUCCACUCUGUUGAUAGAGAGUCAUGCUUGAUUUUGAACCAGAUGCCAGUUAAUCUUAUCAACAAUUAUAUGGUUCAUAUACCAUGCAAUUUACUCAUUUCAUCCAAAAUAGAAUAUCAAAAUAAAAUCGAUUUGCCAAAGAUCGACAACGUCUAAGCCUCCAAAGCUCGACCAAAAGAAAAUGAUAGGGAUUAAAUUGAUCGAAAUUAGAAGUUGUAAAAACUAAUGGGACUAAAUUAAAUUUAUUUGGAAGAUAAUGGUUUAAAUAAAUUAUUAAGGGUUGGAAUUAAUAAUCCAUGAUUUAACUCAAAAUAGGUUCAAGGACCAAAAACUUAGAAAUUAGAAUUUUUGGACAACUUCAUUCAUGAUCGAACAGUCAGCUUGAGGACAGGAUUACGACUUGUAAAUUGAGAGUUAACUCUGAAUCUUAGCUCAUUUUUAAAAUUCAUUACGGGACCAGCGAUUUAAUAUCGAUAUUGAAUAUUUUUCAUCUCACCAAGUAACGACAAAACUAAUGCCGAAGUUGAACUCGAAAUCUGGAAUUGCUGAAUCUUUUUGUGUUCAAUCUUGGUCGUUGAGUAGCCAUUUCUUGGAUGAUUGAGUGAUAUUUGUAGCUAUACGUUCGUCAUAGUGCAUACUUUCAAAAAAAGGUAUAAAGUUUGCCAAAGAUCGCCAACGUCUAACCCCCAAGACUCAAUCAAAAGUGAGACCACGAAGAAUGAAACUAUCCUAAAAUUUGUAGAAUUUAGUAUUCAGACUUUUCCCAUGUGGGAGAAGUGUAAUUAGGACUUAAGGCAUUGUUUAUUGGCAUGGAUUAUGGACUAAAUUAUCUUACUAAGGCAUUGUUUUAUUUACUAUAUGUUGAAGUGGAGAAACAUGCAUGAGUCCUUGAUAUUGAAAUUGUUUAGUCCAAAAAUGGGAUUUCUUACAUGCGAAAACUGGAUACGUGCGUCUUGUACUUAUCUAUGUGAUUGAGUUAUUUUGAUCAAAGAGUGUGUUAUCAUUUAUGAAGUCAAGGCAGCCACUUGCAUCUAUUUGUCAACAAAAGCUAUGCAUCUCUAAUUUAAGUAUGUUAAUAUGUAUAGUUUACAAAGAUAAAGAAAGUAUGAUUAAUAUAGUUGAAACAAUAAAUUUUACCUAUAUUUUUUUUUAAUAUGAGUUCUGCCAGCAAUGUUUAAAAAAUAAAAAUUGAUGUAGGUGGACUUCCAAUUUUCUUAUUUCGCCUUUGUUUUUGCUCAUUGCUACCACUGCACGUCUGUUAAGGCUGCAAUUAAGAAGCGAGAAGAGAAGAGAGGAUGAUCUAAGAGAGAGCGAUUCGAAUGGGUUUCUGCAAUAGAGUGAGAGAUUUGCGUGUGUGGGAAAUGGGGACAGCACGUGGGGUGUCAAAAGGGAGAGAAAAAAGAAAAUCAAAAAAUAACUAUUUGCUAACACGUGUCAAAAUGAUAUGUUAUGCGAACUUCCAUUUUUGGAUGAAACUUACUACUAAAGUUUCCUUUUCUUACAUUAUGGCAGCAUGGGUACUUGUCUGCAUUUAAUGGAUUUCAGCAUUUUGUUACUUUCUUUGCAGGUAUUGAUAGAGCUUGAAGCGUCAACUUACUUGAAAAUGAAGUUGACAGCCACACCGUCCCGCCUCUAAAGUAUCGUAAAGGAGGUAAAUCGAGGGAUGUGCCUCAACAGAUUAGGGAAUAAGAGUUUGCCCGUACACUGGUAUCCACAAAGAGUCCAAUUCCAUAUUUUAGGAGUUGAAAUUUAAAUUGUAUGUGAAGUUGAUCAUUAUAAUUUACGCGAGCAAGGACUCGACCCUUUUUCUUUCAAAAUUGACACUCAUUAAGUACAUUAAUGUGUACUAAACGGGGCCUAAACCACUCUUUUUGAAACCAUAUAUAUAUAUAUAUAUAUAUAUAUAUACUCUUUUCAAUUAAAUUAGUGAAUUAUGGUGUUACUAAUAGCAAAAGUCAUGUUAAAUUCUUCUCAUAAACUCUAUUUAUUAUUUUAUUAUUUUCUUUUUUCUUUUUUUUAUGACCGUGGGUGUCCAGGCCAACUCACGCACAUCUCAACUUAUUCCACUGGAUCCUAAAGUUUACAGCCGGCAUAAACUCUAAUUAUUAUAAGAUGCAAGAAUGUCUAAAGAACCCAAAGGGGCUCGUAAAACCACUCGAGAUGAUUUUGCGAAUGGGUUUAGUGACUUACGAGAUGCUAUUCUUUGCCAUAUUUUAUCAUUUCUGGACACAAAAUAAGUGGAGGCCACUCUAUACAACUCAUCAGAUUUAAGGACAUUUUUGUCUCUGUCCUUGACAUCCUUCUUGAAUUAGUCGUUGCGGUAGAAAUUGCAAGGUGUAGUCUUAGACAAAUUAUGCUACGAAAUGUGCCUCAAAAAUCAUUUAAUUUCGUUUUAAAUGCAAUUUCAAUUUUAAUGAUUCUGCAAUCAAAACUCUUGCAUGUGCUGCAAUAUGGCAAAUUUUUAAACAUGUUGAUAUUUGUGUGAGGUAAAGUCACUAGAAUAUUAUUGUCUGAAUUCUAUAUCAAAGGUUGUCUUGAAGCUAAGAGGGUCUUUGAAUUUACACAUCUCAUAUAUGAUCUCCUUACCUAAUUUAAAGGAGAUUCUCUUCGAAGAUUUCACGUUACCGAGUGAUGAUUUAAUGAGAAGAUUGUUCAAAGUUAUAAGCUACUUGUAAAUUUGUCGCUAUUUGGGUAGAGGCUUGAGCAUGUUGAUGUUCUUUAUCUUUCACUUCUUUGCUUAGAAAACUUUCUUUCGAUUACAAUUUUGGACACAAAAAACUAAACUUGUAAUUGAUACAUUAGAAGAAACUAAAGCCUCUUGCAAGAGCGAAUAUUUCUUUGCAAAUGACUGCAUAAAAUCGAGAGAAUGUUGAUGAGUUUAUCAAUGGGAUGCAUGAAAUCAAAUCAAUUUAUUUAUCAUUUGUAAUCUAGAGGUAAAAAACUAAGCUUUAUUAUCUACUCCACAACGUAUUAUGAGAAUAGAAAAAUUUAUAUUCGAAUUACAAAUACAUCUACUAUACUACCUUUGACUGUGUUUGAUCACGUCCAACUGCAAUAGUUAUGCUUGCGUCUAUCAAACUCUAUAGCAGCCCGUUCUAAAUAGCUCAGGCCCCGCACGUGAACCUAUCUAUGUUGGUUCGAAAAUUUGGGCCCACAAACCGGAACAGUUUUACAAAAAUGACGACAAUCAUUCAUGAUUUUGAUCAUCAUGAGUAUAUAUAUAUAUAUAUAUAUAUGUUAGGAUGGCAAAAAAAUUCUAUAAAACCCGAUAUCUGUGAGGUCCCACCCCGAACCAAGCAGGAAUUACCCGCUUAAUCCGAUAUUUGAGUCGGGUACGGGACGGGGGAUUUCGCUAUGUUUAACUUUUUUUAUUUUUUAAGAAUUCAAUAUUUUAAAAGGAAACUUCACAAAAUUUCAUUAAUUCCAAUAAAAGAUAUAAGCUAAAAUUAUCUAAAAAAAUAUGAUAAACAAUAAAAGUCAUAAUUUACUAAAAAAUUCAAAUUAUUUAACUUUUAAAAAUAAACGAAUUAAUUAAAAAAUUUAAUAACUAUAUUAUUGUCUUACUUUAAUGAAUGGAAGCAAUAACAUUAAUUAUCAAAAAAAAAAUGACUAAACAAGUAUGUAAACGAGACAAGGGCCCAAACCCGCCCCGCCCUAUUCGACCUUAAAUGUGUAACAGGGGGGGGGGGGGGGGCGGAAAAAUUUUAUAAGGGGGGGGGGGGGGGUACAGCCCAGCCCCGACUUGAAUUUGCCCCAUUACCAUCCCUAUUAUUUGUUUUAUUGCACUUUAUAUUGUACUAAUUUUUCUGAAGAUAUGUCAACAUAACAUGAUAUUAGGAUAGAUACGACCAGCGACGGAUCCAGCACCCGGUGAGGGGAUGCAGCUUCCCAUGCUGGAUCCAUCAAUAGUUUCACUUGCCGCCGGGCGCCAAGGGAGAAGCUUUCAUAGUUGCAAAGAAGUCACAAAUUGAAACCAUGGAGGCGGGAUUUGGGGAAGAAGACAGACAACCAUAGGUUAUUUUUUUAUUUUUUUUAUUUUGGGCCUCCUAUUAGGCUGUUGGUUUUUUAAAAAGUGGAAAUUACACAAAUUAAUAGAUUUAAAGAUCCUAUUUCAUAAAUCAUAGGUGAAAUUUACUAUUUAAUUAGUAUAUUUUAAAUAUUAAUAAUUAUAUUGCAAAAUUAAAUAUACAUAUUCAUCCUAUCAAACCCUAAAUUCAUCUUCAUUCAUCCCUUUCAUUUUCUCUCUCUAUAUCUCACCUCCGUCUUCGUUCCUUUCAUUUUCUGUCUCUAACUUCAUAGGUCGUCAAUUCGUCAAACUAGAAUAUAAUACAAUUUAAUUCUUAAUUGUGGAAUAUUAAAUAACUCAAUUCAUCAGUUUUUGCAGUUUUAGCCUAUUAGGGGAGAAAUGAUUACCUUUGAAAUCAAUGCGACGUUUCAUUGUGAUCAGCGAAGGUGAUGGUGACUUGAACAAGUCAAGAACAGAGAUUGGACUCGGUUGCGGUCAUUUUGGCUGUGCUGUUGAGCAGUUUAUCACACCUAUCCAGAAACAGUGGAAGAUUCAUUCUCUGUGAUGAUGGUGGUGAUUUUCUCUUUCCGACGACUCUCCACUGUGGAUUUCUUAUUCCUUGUCGAUCAAUUCAUGACGGUUUGAAGUGAUCUGCUUUUUCUCGUAUUCAACUUUGACGAGUGAAUGUGAGAAAGUAUGAUUCUAUGUUGACUCGUUAGCUCUGCUACAAGUUUCAGCGCUUGACGGCUUAGGUUUGUUGAGUGAGUUUGACGCUUCUCAUUACUCUCAUUCCGAGCAGUGUGCUUGAGCUUCUAGCUUGCCUCAUAGGGCUCCUCGCUUUGUUCAUUGGUCACAAAUCAGCAGCAGUGAUAUGGUGGUCACAAGUGUUGUGGUGGUCACAAAUUAUUUGGUUGACCGUGACCAUUAAAUUGGUUAAUCUGUGACCAGUAAACAAUAUGUGGCCAAUAAAAAAUAUAAAUUGUAACCAAGAAAUAACGUGUGACCUAAGAAAUUGUUAAUCUAUGAUCGAUAAUUUAAUAAUUUUUUACUGUGUAAUAAAUUGUGACUUAUAAUAUUUGUAAUUUGUGAACAAUAAAUAAAUUGUGACCCAUAAAUUUUUUGAUUUGUGACUAAUGAACAAACUGUGACCUAUAAAAUUUUUAAAUUAUGAUCGUAAAAUAAUUUAUAAUAUAAAAAUUUUGAUUUGUGACUAAAAAAUAAUAAGUGACUAACUAAGUCAUUAAUUUGUGACCAAAUUGUAUAAAUUUGUGACUUAAAUAAAUUUAAUUAAUUAAAUAAAUAAAUCAUAAAUAAAUUUUAAUAAAAAUCAGAUUUUUGAAGUUCGAAACUUGUUUUCUUGAUUUUGAAAUGUGUGAUACUUAAACUCUUAAAUAUGAAAUUUUCCCUUUUAAAAAAUUUGGCCCGAUUUUGAAAGAAAUGGAUUUGGACCAGUGAUUGAUUUUUGAAAAGAAAUUGUAAGCUCUUCCAAAUUGUUUGGAAAACCUUCCUCUAUGAUGUGGUAAUCAACAACUUUGCAGUAUCUUUAUAUUCUUGAGCAACUUUGCGUCAUGCCUACGGCUGAAGAUCACUUCUUGAAAACGGAAACAACAUAUCUCGCGAUUUUUUGAGUGUUGAAGGUGAGUAAUUUGCUUGAUGAUGUUGGGAUUUUCUUGAAUCUGUUAUUUGAGGAGUUUGAUGUUGGACAAAAUGUGUUUGAGAAGAAAUAAGGGUUUUGAUAAAGGGCUGCAAUUACAGGGUUUUCUAUGAUUUAUUGUGUAUUAAAGCAGUGCUUUUUUUUUCUCUUUUUUGAUUGAUUCGUGCUGUCAAAUAUUAUCAUAAAUGUGUUGGAGUUUUUUUUUUGUUUUCAUUUUUUACUACUAAAAUUUCAGCAAAUCAUUAUAAUAAAUGUGUUGGGAAUGUCUCGCGAUUUUGGCUCAUUGUUCAUUUCAAUUUAUCUGUCUUCUUGUUCUGGCAUCUUUACACUUUUGUUUUAAUGUAUAUGCAUUUUCAAAGUGCUGAUAGAUGUCUUAAUAGUUUGGUUGUUUGAUAGAGUGGAUUGGAUUGACCGGUCACCAGAUGAUCUUAAGAAAGAAAACUAAAAAACUAAAAAUGUGUCCUAGUAUUGUUAAGUGUAUCUAGUCCUGUGCACCAAAAAUUUUUUAUCCGCCAAUAAUUUCACCAAUGCUGUCAAUUUUUUCUUGUUCCUUUAAGUCAUGAAGGGGGAUUUAUCAGAAAAAAAUUUCUCCAAUUUGCCCUAGUUGAACUUGAAUCCUAGAUUUGCCCCUAGAUACGACCAAUAUAAAUUGCAAAUAAACCCAAAAGGCCCAUUAUAUGUCUCAUCGUUUCUCACUGAAUAUUGGUGUUAUUUGCAAUAGCUGCUAUAAUGGAUCUGCCUGUUAGAAUGUGUGGGGUAAAAUUUUGUUAGAUAAAUUUUUCAAUAAUGAAAAUAUUGAUUAUGGCCUUGAUAUUUCCUCUAUAUAUUUUCUUUUAUUGAGAUAUAUAUUGGUUGCACUGGCCUUCCCAUUGAUGAUCUUGAUUCUUGAAUAAUUCUUUAUUGACUAUAAUGCACAUUUUUCUUGAGGUAAUCUAUGAUUUAUAAUUACAUGUAAAAAAAAAUAUUGAUAUUCUACGACAUUGACAAUUACAAUAAAAUAAGCAUUCAACCUCAUCCCCAUUCCGAUGAUCUUCGCUCAAAACUUGGAUUCACUCCCUCAAUAGUCUUGUUUGAAUAUCUUUCCUAUAUGAGAUUCCCUUAUUUUUAGGGAAAAUUGCAGUCAAGGUACCAAACUUUUAAUUUAUUUGCAGACUUUGUCCAAACCUUUCAUUUGUACCACCGUGAGUAUCAAACCUUUAAAAAAUAUGUACUUGGAUAGAAACCAUUACUUUUUCCAUUGAUUGACCAAAAAUUAAAGGUCUGACCACUAUUGACUAAUUUUCAAGAGCAAAAAGAUUACAUUUUUUUAUACAAAAAAGCUACAAUAAAAAGAAAUAAAUAAAUAAAUAAAUCAUAUUAUCUUCUCUACUCGCCCCACCCCUUCCUAAAACCAAAACCAAGAGCAUGAAAACGCCGACACCCACCACCUUCAUCUCCAACCCUGCUUGGCAUCACCAUCCAACAAUCACCAAUCGAAUCUUUGCGUAGAAGGAUAAACGCCUUCAAUCAAAACCCAAGCAUUUAUCCUAAUAUAAACUCAUAAAUGCAUAAUUUUCUUGGAAACCCAUCUCUGGUUUUGAUUCAGAAUUUGGGGAAAUUAAGGAAAAAUGAUGACAACUGAAGGGCUGAUGGAUAGAAGGGGUGUUGGAUGAUAUAAUAAGGAGGCUUUUGGAAGUCAAAUAGGGGAGGGAAAAUAGGUGCAGCUUUCAAAGGUGGAGAUCCGGAAACUUUCCGAGGUAGAGAUGAUUGGAUCAAUUUCUAUCUUAAACCCAUCUCAACGCCAUACUACAAAUUCUUCAUAUGGUGAAAUAAGAGCUACAAUUGAAAAGUGAAGGAAUUGUGUAAUUUUGUCUUUGCCUUCCUUAACAAAACUCUGCAAUACUAUUUCCAUGUCUAAAAUCUAGAUUUCAAACUCUACAUUUCCUUCUCAAGAUCUAUAAAAGGAGUGGUGGUGCCGAUGGAUUUGGUGGCGAUGAUGAUUGGUGGAUUUGAAGGUGGAAGGCGGCAGUGGUCCGAUGGUUGUGAGUUGGGGAAGAUGAAGGGUCUUCCCUUUUCUAUUUUAUUUUUUUAUAUUUGUAUUUAAUUAUUGCAGCAUUACCUUUUUGCCCUUGAAAAUUAGUCAACUAUGGUCAGGCCUUUAAUUUUUGGUCAAUCAAUGGAAAAAGUAACAAUUUUUGUCAAUUUGGACUCCAAGUGAGAUUUUUUAAAAGUUUGGUACUCACGGUGGCACAAAUGAAAAGUUUGGCCAAAGUCUGCAAACAAACAAAAGGUUUGGUAUCUUGACUGCAAUUUUUCCUAUUUUUUAUGCUUGAUUUAAGGAUAUUUUUAUAGAAAAAGUACAUAACUACAAUACUUUAAUUAUUCAAUUUCUUAUUUAACAAACUUAUAAAAAUAUUUCAAAAAUUAGAUGAUAAAUUAUAUUAAUAUAUUAUAUUUUUCUAAUAUUAUUGUAAAUGAAAUUUAGGAAUAUUAGUCUAAUUUACAAUAUUUCCGUUAACAAUAUCGUAUCAUAAUAUACAAUCAUUUAACUAUUAAGAUAAUUGUUUCUCUCACUUCCAACUUUCUUUCUCUUACAGAGACUCUCUUGGGGUUCCAAAAUUAUGAAAUUUUUUGCAAAAAUCAUGCAAUCACAUUUUGUAACAUCUGAUAAAAUUGGUAACAUGUAAUUAAAUUAAAUAGGUCGCGAUCACAGUAAGUCAAUAAAUUAUAAUUUACCGUCACAAUCACAUAUUAGUCACAAAUAACACACAAUCAGAAAAAUAUAAUUUGUAUAUUAUAAUUACAAAUUUAGUUGUAAAUUACUCACUUUUAUUUGUCACAAAUUAUCAAAUUAACUAGUUACAAUCACUCUUCAUCACACCCUACCCUAUUUCAUCACCAUUGACACCACCCAAAUCAUCGUUACUACCUCAAAUCUACAACCUACAACCACUUUCACAUUCACCUCAAAUUCACGAAAAUCGAUGACAUCUCAACCUCCAUUGCCGCUGCCACCACCCUUCACCGUGAGGGAAAAAAAAACUAAUGCAAAAACCACCAAAAAGAGCAACAUUUUAAAUUAUCAAGAAAUAUGUCAAUAAUUAUUCGUAGUUAUGAAUAGAGUCAUCAAAACUGGUGUUAAUGUAGCAUUAUUAUUAGCCCAAGGGACUUCAAAUCUGGUGUUAAUGCUGCUGAUGUCGAUGACAACUUUUUGCUCUUGAAUUGAUUUCGACAAAAAGCUAUAGUGCAAUACAUAUGAUGAUGUUGAAACAACUAUAGAGCUCCUCUUGGUAAGGGAGCUCAAUAUGAUUGCCUUCAUUUUAUGUUUGCAUAUGUAGAGAGAGAGAGAGAGUGCAUUUGUUGAGAAAUAAAGUGUUUAGUAGAGAGAGUUGAUAAUAAUGUGGCCAAAAAGUAUUUUUUUCAAUGGAAUGGGCCGCGGAUAGGAGAGAAUAAUCUUCCAUAUGGUACUUAUGUAUAAUAUAUAUCACUACAAUAUAAAAGUGUCUAACCCUUUGGCGCUGUUCAUUCCGAACACACGUCUCAAUUUCCUAUUGUUCAAGCUAAUAUUAUGAUGUCGUUUGGAGAAAUUUUAAACUGGCCUAAUUGUCCUCGUUCAAGGCAAUAAAUCCUCUCAUCUCUCACUCUCUUCCAGAGGAAAUGACUCCGGUCACGAUUUCUUGGCAACAUAAAUAAGCCGUUGUUGCCUCAUCGUCAUAAUCGCCACCAGGGAAGGAGUCACCUCAAGUGGAUAAUCAAUUGCUUGACUCAGAUUUUAUAGUGAUACUAUCGACACUUCUCUUCAUACUAAUCUGUGUUCUUGGCCUUGUCGUCUAUUGAUACUAUCGGAACUUUCGCUCUCCAUCAUCAUCUAUCUCUCCGCCACUGUCUUAUCCUUAAGUUUCAUUGAUGCCUGUACCAUGUGAGCCCUUCAUUUUCUUUUUUAUUUAUUUUUUUUAGCUUUUAGUGUAUUUUUACAGAUUUAGUAUUGUCAUUUGUGAACUAUGAUGAAUAAUGAAAUUAAUGAUGAAUUUUCAAUGAGUUGUUUGGAAUUCUAUGAAUUUGAAAGGGAAUGGAUUGUAUGAAAGCCGUGGGUUCGGGUUGGUUUUGAUUCCCAUGCGCAAAAAAUGGUGUUUCUCAAAACACUCUAAAAGAGUUCUAUUUCUGUCUAUUGGUCUAUUUCGCCUAUUUAAAUAAACCUGCCUAACGAGCAAAUAUUUUUUUUAUAGAUUUUAGUAUUGUCACUCGAACUGUGCUAGUUUAGACCCUUCCUGGAUCGUUAGAUUUAAUCAAGGGUUGAGAUGAUACCAUGGAAAAUGAAGCGUCCUUUUUCUUGCCCAAAAGUUACAAGACUUUGUGAUACUUCAGAUUUUUAAUCUUCUCUCCUCUAGUUCUCUCUUCUUUGUCUUUUUGGGUCUGAAAUUCUUCUUCUCUAUUUGUAAGGUUUCUGUGAUUGAUCAAAUAGAUUUUAUAGGUCUUGUGUACAAUCAGGCUUGAGAUACUAGCUGAUCUUUAUUGUUAAACUCUGAAAAUGUUUGGUUGAUUUGUUUGGUAGAUUUGUGUAUGCUUCAUGACAUUGAUUCAAUCAGUGAGUAAAACCUUGUGGUUUGAAUGGUUCUUGGUGUACUCUUGCUCUCUUGGAUGGUAGAUUGUGCCAUAGUAGAAUGGCCUGUCCCUGAGCCCCCCAGGUUAGGCCUAUUUUGGCUGAAUUUGGUCAACAUUAUUGGUAUUCUUGUGUUCGUUUUAUGAUUCUUUGAGUGUGAUGUUUGUUUUUAUUUCAAAUCUUUUUAAAAAUCAACACUAAAUUCCCAAAAAAAUUGGUAUCAGAGCCUCAAGGCUUCUGGGUUCAAUAUUUUUUUGUGAAACAUCUUUUCUGGGUCAUUUUGGUUCUUCAAUCUGUGUAGAUCUUUUUAGAUCUACACACAUACAGUUUGGUAUCUUGUCUAUUUUUUUUAUAAAUUUAGGCAUUAAAUUCGUUUACUAAUCAGUUUAUUUUUGUAAAAGUAACGAAGGUGACAAACGGAGGAUUUGGUUGUUGGUUUGAUUUCAUGCAUUGUAUCAAUAUUAUUGUCAUGACAGUAUUGGUACGAUCUGUCAAUAAUACUUUGUGAUUUCGAUUGGACAUUUAUUGUUUGGAAUACAUGCAUAUAUUGAUAUAUGUUGUUUUAGUAAUAUACAUAUAUCUUGUUUAAUCUGCCUACAAUCUACUAUUGAGCCCGUUUUGUACCUUGAUAUAUAUUUGACUGGAGUUCUUGUAUAUCUGAUUAAACUGAUAUAAAGAUAUACUGUCGAAUACUUGCUCAAUAUCUGAAAAGUUUUUUGGAACUUUGGUUUCUUGAAACUAUUUACUAUAAAAAAAAUUUCAAAAACCUUUUCUGCAAAAUCCAUGAGUUUAAGCCACUCUUUUACAAAAUCUAUAAUGGGUUCGAAGGUCAGAUUGUCCCAAUUCAAUGGAAAUGGGGAUUACUCUAUAUGGAAGCAGAAAAUGGGAGCCAUCUUGGUCCACCAUAGGGUUGCAAAGGCUCUCCAUGAUCCUAAAACUUUUUCUGCUGAGUUAAAAGGAAAACCUGCUAAAAUUGAAGAAAUGAAUGAAAUUACCUAUAGCUCUAUAAUUUUGCAUUUAUCUGAUAAUGUGGUUAGACAAGUUGAUGAUUCCAAAACUACAAGAACUUUCUAGAAUGCCUUGGAUGGUUUGUUUUAAACCAAGACUCUUCCUAACAAGAUAUAUUUGUUAGAAAAACUAUUCAGUUUCAAAAAGGACCCAGAAAAGGAUUUGGAAGUCAAUUUAAGUGACUUCAGCAUAAUUGUUAAAAGUCUUGCACAAAAUAAUAAAAAAUUUGAAGAUGAGGACUUGGCUGUUAUAAUAUUGAAUUCACUGCUUGAAUCUUAUAAAGAUGUUAAGAAUGUCAUAAAAUAUGCUAGGGACACACUUACACAAGUAAUUGUGAUAGAUGCCUUAAGGUCAAGAGAGUUAGAUGUGAGUAGAGAAAAUAGAACCAACUCAAGAGAAGGAAGCUUAUUUGUAAGGGAAUAAUUGAAAAGAAAGAAUUUAAUUUCCAAAACAAAAAGGGAAUGGGAAGAUCUAAAUCCAAAGAUAGAAGUAAUAAGAAUUGUUAUAACUAUGGAAAGUCGGGACACUUCAAGAGGGAUUCUUUUAGCUGGAAAAAGAAACAAAAAGAUUGGAACAAUAAUGAUCAGAAUAAUGCAGCCAAUGUCUAAAUUGGACAGUCUACAUGUAAUAAAUGUGUCAACUGAAAACUCUAGUAAAGAUUGGAUUCUAGAUACUAGAUAUACCUUUCAUAUGUGCCCUGAGAAAACAUGGUUUUAUAAUUACAAUGAAAUAGAACUAGGAAAAGUGUAUAUGGGAGAUAAUAAUUCCCAGACUAUGAUGGGCACCGGUGACAUUGCUAUAAAAAUGUUUGAUGGCAUUGUCAAAUCAAUAAAAAAUGUGAGAUAUAUAUCCCAAAUCUGAAAAGGAGCCUUAUUUCACUAGGGAUACUUGAAUAUGAGGGAUAUACCUUUAAAUUUGAUAAUAAAACUCUGAAAAUUAUGAAGGGCUCUUUAGUUGUGAUGAAAGGACCUAAAAGAAAUGGUUUAUACUAUCUAGAGGGAAAAAUAGUUAUAUCGCCUUAUUCAAGUGUACUAACUGUAAAUGAAGAUAAAUCUGGUCUUUGGCACAAUAGAAUGGGACACACUGGAAAUAAAGGGCUAAAAUCUUUAAUUAAUCAAAAAUUACUUAGAAACGAUGACAUUGAGCCCGUAGACUUUUGUGAGACUUGUGUGUUGGGUAAGUCCAACAAAAUUAGUUUUGAAUCCAGCUCACAUGGAACCAAUAGGCCCUUAGACUAUGUACAUGCUGAUCUCUAGAGUCCUGAAAAGCAUUCUACUUUUAGUAGAAGUAAGUAUUUCUUAUCCCUCGUAGAUGAUUAUUCUAGGAAGGUUUGGAUUUAUCCCUUAAAGGCUAAGUCAGAAACCUUUCAGAAGUUCAGGACAUGGCUAAGAAUUGUUGAAAAUCAAUUAGAGAAAAAACUAAAAACCCUAAGAACUGAUAAUAGGCUAGAGUUCUGUAAUGCAGAAUAAGCAGAAAGGGAUAUUGAGGCAUAGGACUGUGAAAUACACACCCUAACAAAAUAAGGUAGCUGGGAGAAUGAGCAGGACUAUAAUGAAUAAGGUUAGAUGCAUGCUUAUCAGUUCUGGUCUGGCUAAAGUUUUGGGCUGAAGCUGCCUAUAUGGCAGUCUAUUUGAUUAAUAGAUCAUUUUCUAAUAGUGUAGACUUCAAAACCUAACAAGAACUGUGGAUAGGUGAACCCCAAAACUUAACCCAUAUAAGAGAUUUUGGAUGUGCAGUAUAUGCACUUCAAUCUGAAGGAAAAUUGGAACCCAUAGCCACCAAAUGUGUGAUGCUAGGAUAUCCAGAAAGUGUUAAAGGCUUCAGGUUGUGGGUUUUCGGUGUUCCAGGCAUUAAGAUUAUCAAUAAAAGAGAUGUAAUCUUCAAUGAAUUAGAAAUUUCAUGCCUAAAACAAGAAUUUAAAGGAACAAAUGAAUUUGAAAAUAACAAGACAAUUCAGAGUGAGGUGAAGUUAACUAAAUUUAACUUACCUCAACCUAAAGAUGAUGAAAAUAGUACUGUUCAUCAUCAGAAUGAGCCUGUUCCUGAAUGUGUAGAAGCUAAUGAACCUCAAAUUGAGGUUGAACUUGAAGAACCUGAACAAAUUACUGAACAUACUGAUAUUCAAGAUUGUCAAAUCAUUAAGGAUAGAGCAAGAAGAUAACCUAGACCUAAUCCUAUGUAUGAACUAUUAAAUUUGACAGACUUUGCCUUAGUCUUUAAAGAAAAAAUAGAACAAGCUGAACUUGCCUCUUAUGAAGAAGCAAUUCAUGGGAAAAUUUCUGAAAAUUGGAUAAAGGCUGUGAGAGGGGAGAUACAGUCCUUAAAUGAAAAUAAAACUUGGAAGCUUGUUAGAAAACCUAAAGAUCAUAGGGUAGUACAAUGUAAAUGGGUUUACAAAAUUAAAGAGAGUAAUAGCCCGACUAAUCUUGUUAGAUUUAAGACUAGACUAGUGGCAAAGGCGUAUACUUAGAAAGAAGAGGUUGAUUACAAUGAGAUAUUCUUACCCGUAAUCAAAUAUAAAAUCAUCAGAUUGAUACAAGCACUAAUUGUCUAAUAUAAUUGGGAACUUGAACAACUUGAUGUGAAAACCGUAUUCUUCCAUGGAGAAUCAGAAGAGGAUAUCUUCAUGACUCAACCUCAAGGUUUUGAGAUUAAGGGCAAGAUUGAUUAUGAUGAAAACUUGAAAAAUCAUCAUAUGGAUAGAAACAAAGUCCUAGACAAUGGUAUAAAAGGUUUGAUGCAUAUGUAUUAAGAAGUAAAUUUGAUGCUUGCUUGUACUAUAACAACCUGAAAAGUAGUGGUGAAGUUUACUUACUAGUGUAUGUGGAUGAUAUGCUUCUGGCCAGUCCUGAUAAGUCUCAAAUUACAAGAUUAAAAGAUUUUUUGAAAUCUGAAUUUGGUACGAAAGACUUAGGAUGUGCUAGAAAAAUCCUAGGAAUAGGCUAACAGUUACAUAAGAACUAUAUCUAAACAAAGUAGUAACCAGGUUUGGAAUGAAAGAUAGUAAAGCUGUUAAUAUACCCCUUGCAGCCCACGUGAACCUAUCUAAAUCUCAGUCCCCUAAAUCUGAAGAAGUAAAGGAAAUGGAAAACAUACCCUAUGCAAAUGAAAUAGGCUCUGUUAUCUUUUCAAUGAUAACCACCAGACCUGACCUUGCUUAUGCAAUCAGAUUCUUAAGCAGAUUUAUGUCCAACCCUGGCAAGCCUCAUUAGGCCGAAAUGAAAUGGUUACUUAGAUAUAUUGUUGGUACAAUAAAUCUGAGACUAGUGUAUGAGAAAAGAUCUGAAAAUGUAACACUAAAAGGUUAUGUAGAUGCUGACUUUGCGGAUGAUAAAGACAGUAGGAAGUCAACAACAACUUAUUUUUUUACUCUUGGGAAAAAUUGCAUAAAUUGGAAAUCUCAAUUGCACCCAUUGGUUACAUUGUCCAGCACGGAAGUUGAGUAUGUAGCCAUAACUGAAGCUACGAAAGAAUGUAUUUCGUUAAGGAAAACUUUUAAAAGAACUGAACGUUAUGAAUGAUACUUCUAUUAUAUAUACUGAUAGCUAGAGUGCUCUAUUACUUAGUAAUGAAAGAUCAAAACAUAUUGAGGUGGCAUAUCAUUUUAUAAGAGAACAACUAUCUCAAGGAAAAGUUAAAUUGACUAAAGUUCAUACCGAUAAAAAUCAUUCUCAUAUGGGGACCAAAGUUUUGCCUGUAAGUAAGUUUAAAAUGUGUUUAUCCUUACUUCAUAUCGACACAAGUUAAUUUUCUUUUGCAAGUCUUAGGGCAAUGAUGAUGGAAAGCAGUUCCACGGGGCACUUUCAGCAAUCAGAGAGCGAGUGUAUUUGAGAAUCAAGGUGAAAAAUGUGAAAAUUUGUGUUUUUAAAAACACUCUAAAAGAGUGCUAUUUCUGUCAAUCGGUCUAUUUCGCCUAUUUAAAUGAACCUGCCUAAUUGGCAUAUAUUGGUUGGCCGAUUGAUGUUCACUCGGACUGCGCUAGUUUAGACCCUUUCUGGACCGUUGGAUUUAAUCAAAGGUUGAGAAGAUGCCUUGGAAAAUGAAGCGUUCUUUUCUUGGACAAAAGUUACGAGACUUUUUGAUACUUCAGAUUUUUCAUCUUCUCUCUUCUGGUUUUCUCUCUUCUACGUCUUUUUGGGUCUGAAAUUUUUCUUCUCUAUUUGUAAGGUUUCUAUGAUUGAUCAAAUGGAGUUUGUAGGUCUUGUGUACAGUCAGGCCUGAGAUAUUGGCUGAUCUUGUAUUGUUAAACUCUAGAGAUGUUUGGUUGAUUUGUUUAGUUAAUUUCAGAAUGUUUCAUGAGAUCGAUUCGAUCAGUGAGUGAAACCUUGUGGUUUGAGUGGUUCUUGAUGUACUCUUACUCUCUUGGACGGUAGAUUGUGCCAUAAUGAAACGGGCUGUCCCUGAGCCCCCCAAAUUACACCUAUUUUUGUUGAACUUGGUCAAUAUUUUUGGUGUUCUUGUGUUCGUUUUAUGAUUCUUUGUGUGUGAUGUUUGAUUUGAUUUCAAAUCUUUUUAAAAAUCAACUGUAAAUUCCCAACACUAUGCCUUUAGGCUUUAGUGGACUGAUAGGUAGGGAGAGGUUCACUGAUGAGAAAUGAAGGAAGCAGCAAAUGUUGGAAUUGGAGGUUUUUUCAAAGAGGUUGGAGUUGGUGCAGGAUCGGAUUAAAGCAUAGUUUGAGGAAAACUCGGGUCUAUGGGGAGCUUCUUCUUUUUUUCUUUUUUGUUCCAAGUUCGUUUUUGACAUUUAGAUAUUAUAUAUCUGUUUGUAUUUAUGGUACAUAUAUUUUGUACAAGUGAUAUGUAACCAUGGAUUCUCGCAGAUCUUGUUGAAAAUCAUUUUGGGUUUAUAAACUUCCUCUCAGCUUAUUCUGCUGUCAAUCAAGUAGAGGAAAAUUGUUGGAUUUUUCAAUUUGAUCGUAUCAGAAAAUUGUUGUUUGUUUUGACAUAUGGGUUUUGCAGUUUUACGAAAAAAUGAAUUUGAAAUUUUUUUUACUGGGGUGUUAUUCCACUACUAAAAAACAGAGUUUCAGGCACAGAUUUUCCGUUCCUAAAGCCUCAAUAUCCGUUACUAAUAAUCUUCACCAACAGAAUAUUUGCAACCACAAAUCCGUUGGUAAUUUGAGGGUCGCUGAUAGUUAUCAACGGAUCAUACCGUAGGUAAAGAGUAAACAUUUUACCGACGGAUUUUCCGUUGGUAAAGUGUGAAUCUUUUACCAACGGAGUUUUCGUUGGUAAAAGUUUUAAUCAAUACCAACCGACUUUCCAUUGGUAAAUGUCUACCAUUACAAUUGAUAAAAUCAAUGUUGUAAAUAACCGUAUAGUAAAAAAGUUAUUUAUUAUUAUUAUUAUUAUUAUUAUUAUUAUUAUUAUUAUUAUUAUUAUUAUUAUUAUUAUUGAUUAUAAUAAUUUUUUAUUUUUAGUCAAUUGAAUUGAAAGGCCAAAAUAUUGUUUAACUCCUUAUUGGACCACAAAUUUAUAGAGGACAACUACAAAGAUACUGUUGUAAACUUUCGAUGUGGGAUAAGUGAAUUAUUUUUACCAACGAAAUAUCCGUUGCUGAAAGAUCAAAAUGUUAAACGGUUAUAUUAGGCACAGAAAUCCAUUGAUAAAGAAUCAUUUUUACUAACGGAUAAUUCGUUUCUAAUUACCAACGGAAUAUCCGUAGGUAAAAGGUUAAAAAUGUUAAAUGGUUAUAUUAGGCACGGAAUAUCCGUUGGUAGAGGGAUAUCAUCUUUACCAACGAAAAAUCCAUUGUUGAUUAUUGUAGCUAAAAGUGAAUUAUUUUUACCAACGGAUAAUCCGUUUCUAAUUACUAACGGAUGGAAUCCGUUGGUAAUAUUUGGUACAUCACCUACGGAAUAUUCGUUGGAGGAAGAUCCAAAUAUUAAACGAUUACAUUAGGCACGGAAUAUCGGUUGGUAAAGAGAUAUCAUCUUUACCAACGGAAAAUCCGUUGCUAAUUAUCGUAGCUAAAAGUGAAUUACUUUUACCAACGGAUAAUCCGUUUCUAAUCACCAACGGAUACAAUCCGUUGGUAAUUUUUCGUAGGUAAAAAGCUGUUUUUUAGUAGUGUUCAUUGAAUCAUUGUUUAGAAGUGAUUUCUUGGUUUUUAUGAACAUUUGAUGGCAUGAAUGGUUUAGUUAUAUGAAUUUUUGACUGACUGCAAUGGAGGAUGUGUCUAAUUAUGUAAAGAAAAGCCUUGAGUAGAUCACAUGCUGUACUUAUUCUUGGUUUUGGGAGAAAAAUAUGAUUUUUGUUGUCUUUUAGGGAUGGGUAGGUUGUGUGAUGAAGAGUUAGAAUUAAGCUGUUGUGAGAAUCUGUUAACUUACAAUCAGAAAUUAAUUUUAUUUUGUUAAUAUUUCUCCUUUCUCUCUAUAUUUUUUCAUUUCUCUGUCUCAUCUCUCUAAUUUUUAUGUAGGUAUAUGUUUAUUGUACUUUAUGUAACCAUUUGUUUUCUGUUUCUACGAAUUCUAGUUUCAAUUUUUUGUUCUCUUGAAUUAAUCAUUAUUUUUCUUAAAUUUUUAAUUGAUUAUAGAGUUUCGUUUCAGGUUUACAUAAACUAACCAUCGUAUUAAUUUUGUUAAAAGAUAGCUUCGAGAUCAUGGUGAAUUCUAACUUCUGAGAUAAUUUUGUAAGAACUAUACUAUUGGAAUUUAUUUUUGUUACUUUAGAAAUUAUUCAAUUCUUAAAUGUGUUGUAAAAACUAACUUAAAGGCGUAAUUUUAGGCAAUUUGUUGUCAAACGACCUCCCGGAUAAUGAGGUAACCUCGAUUUUAUUUAUUAUCAAUCGGUUUUGACCAUAUGAUUGAACUUAUGUCGACACUACCAUCGAGACAAUCCAAUCCAAUUUUCUAUGGGCCAUUAGAAGCAACCUAUUUUAAUAGUGUUGCUCGUGACCCGUCCUAUUUUCUUGGAUGGCUACGAUAUUCAUUGGGAGCCCAAUACAUUUUGUGUUAAGCCUCUUUUGGACCACUAAGGUAACCUAACCUAACUUACCAUAUAUGGUCACACCUUUGGGCUAUAACUCUUGGCUCCCUUCACGCCUCCAAAAUGGUCGUCUUCUUUACUUCUAUCUGUGAGUUCUUCUCGGCUAACUCUCGGCCUCUUACUCUCAAUUAACCUGUGUGGUUUCUCUUGGACCAUAUUGAUCUCAUAUUGGCCGACUCUUUGUGGGUAUGAGUAGCAACCGUAGGUGGGAAGAAGAAAAGAAAGAUUUGGGUGUGUCUCAAUAGUGGUGAUGUCAACUUUUGGUGGAAACUGCAGGAUUUUUGGUCUCACACGUGACACACGAGGAAAUUCAAGAAAUGCUUGUAAAUUUGACACUUGCAGUUUCAUCUAUUCUCUUUAGUUAGGUCGAACAGCACAUACCUCACUGGCUUUUAUUACAAUUUCUAUCCACAUUUACUUCAUGGAUUUUCUUAAUUCGGUUUUCCUUGCAUAGGUUUUGCCAAGAAAUCGAUAUAUUUGGUACUAAGGAUGAUCGUUCCUGUGUGUAGACAAAGUAUCCAAGCCAUGGAUCAUGGUGGUCUUAAUUGUCUGUUGGUUUAUUUCACUGUUGAAUUUUCCCAUAUUUGGCAAAAUGAUUCCAGCGACUCAACGGCAAUUGACCAUUGAAUGAUUUUUUGUUUUGGAAAUUUGAAAUUUUGAAUGGGAUUUUUGCUACAACUGUGGUUUAUAUAUAUUGACAAGACAAAAAAACAAUUUGUUUGUGCACAUAUUUGGCGAGUUUGAAGAAAAGAUAGCAUUGUCUAGGCCUGUGCUGGAGAUAUGUUUUCCUUCUAUACUCUGCAAACUUGUAUGAAUGGUGGUAUAUGCAUAUAUUUUAACGGAGAAGAAUGACCAAUUGAUACCCUGAACAUGGUGAUCUUAUGAGAAGAUCGGUCUCUAACAGUUGCUAACCCAAGGACCUGAAGUUUCUCUGUAAGAAAAAACUAGAGGAACCUUGUCAUUUAACUUAUAUGAAAUCGAUCUCAGUGGUGCUAAGAAGCUUGUCUUAGAUUUAAAAAGGUUCAUCCAUUAUUUCUUGUUUAUCAUUAAAACCCUAUUUCAAUUAUAAUGACGGUACUCAAAUUUUAUUUAUUUUCACACUUACGUCUCUAAAUUUUUUUGGCGUAUUUUUAUCUUUAAUCUUCAAUUAAUUGACAGUUUUGAUUCCGACAUGAUGGUUACAGUCCAAAUAUUUUGUUAAUGUGGAUAAAACAUGUUGUCUAAGCAUGUAUUUUUUAUUUUUUUGUUUAUUUUAAAAAAAAAUGUAUUAAGGGCUAUAGGUUUUUUAACUCCCUCUUAAGGGAUUACCGUCAUCACGGAUAAGAUGUGGUAAAUAAUAGAAACUUGAGAAUAAAAAAUACAAUGAAAAAAGUUAAAAACCAUUUAUUUAUUUUGUUGUAAGUAGUGGAGAGUACAGAACUUCAAAUAACUUGAAAUAUUGGGGGGAAAAAUUUAUUUUGAAUUUAUUUAUUUAUUUUGGGUUAAUCGAUAAUACUAACUGAAUAAUAACUUAACUCCUUUUUUCUUUAAAUAAUGUCUAAUUAUUAAAAGUUAUUGAAAACAAAGACUGUCUAUGCCAACUCAUCCAUAGAGCAGACAGCAUAACAAUUAUCAAAUCCCCGCAAACCCACCAAUGGAAAAAGCUAUUAUCUUUCUAAUUUUGGAAUAGCUUAUUAAUUAAUAUCAUUUUUUGGUUUUCCAUGAAGUAGCUAGGACUCCAUAUCAUUAAUUUAUAUUUGAAUUGACUACACAUUAAUGUAUCUCCAAUUAAAAAAAAGAUUGUAUGUAUCACCAUGAGCAUCGAUUCACCAACUUCCAUUAGUCAUCAGGAUAUUAUAAUUUAGAUUUCUUAACAGCGUCUUAUCAGUAUUAUUCUACAUAACAACGAUCUAUCUGGGAAAUGCUUACAAUACUAAAAGGAAACUAAAUGCACUUAUGAUGCAUGACCAACAACUUGACAGGGUAAUGAGAUAUGGCUUCAUGUGGAUGCUGCUUAUGCUGCAAGUGCUUGUAUCUGCCCAGAGUUCUGGCAAUUUAUUGAGGGCGUCGAAGAAAUUAACUCAUUUAACAUAAAUUCACAUAAGUGGUUUAUAACUAACUUUGAUUGUUCAGCUCUUUGAGUUAAGAUUUAUCACAUUUUUAAUUUAUCUUUAAUACAAAUUUUAUCGGUGCCAUCAUCGAAUUAUUUUCUCAUGUUUGGUUGGUAAGGAUUCCCGGAAUGGAAAAAGUUGAAAAAUAUGUUAUAUCUAUCAACUAUAAGAGAAGUGUUUAGUCAAGUAUUUGGAGCUUCAGGUUGUCUUUUUGUUUGUACUUUAAUUUCAUUUAAUUGGAUUUGGUUCAUGUGCAAUUGUUCUUCUCAUGCUUCAAGGAUUUGGUGGGUCAAGAAGUGAUAAUAUUUCUAGAUGAUAAAUUUGCUAUUAAUUUUUUUUUUAUUUCCGUGAAUUUUUUUUAUUUGUAGGGAUCUCAAUUCAAUUGGACAUGAACGUCAGGUUCAUGUGAUUUGAUGCUUGUAUAAUGUUGGAUUAUAGCCAACUUAAGAGUGAUCCACAUAUCCCAUGUCCCACUAUGAAAGCAGUUAACCCAACGUUUAAAGUCAUGUUUGGUAACCACCCAUGGACGUGCAUAACCGCUCUGUGAUGGGAAGAGCAUUUUAAAGACGUUGAGAUCCAUUCGGAAGGUCCCUAAGCUCAUUUUCACGUUCAGUCUGCAUACACUAUCUAAGCAGUGAGAAAGAGGGCUUAGAAGAGUCUUAACCCGAAGUUAAACACCACCUAAAAGCUUGAGAAGUGUGUGAACAACGACAAUGGCGGGAGGUACGUUUUUCGAUCCAAUUUAUUCCGCAUUGAUCUAAAUGCUAUUUUGUUGAUUAAAGCAUGUUUAGAUCGCUUAAGUAGAUUUUCAUUUGGUAUUAGAGCCUUCGUUUUGCCUCUGCCUUGUUUGUUCUCAACCUGCACACUCUCUGUUGAAAAACAUGAUUUUUGAUUUGGUCGUUUUUAUGGAAACUGAGAUUAGGAAUCAUUAGGAAAUUGAUUUCUGAGAAUUUUGAUAUAAAAUUUGCAAAAUUUGGUAGUCGGAAUUAUGAGAUAUGACCGAGUUUUUCAUUUGGGUUGGAACCGGGUCGUUUCGACCCGACAGGAGGUUGAAGACGACAUAUAAAAAAAAUGGUGGCUAAACAGUCUUUUCAGACCUGGUUGCAUGUAGAGAGAGUUGGGACCUGUUUGCAUGCAGAGAUAGUUGGCAGAUUAUGUAGGCUUCCUUGUCUUUUACUUAUUACAAAGUACAAAAAUGGUUUUGUUUCAACUAUUAGUUUCUAGCCGGAGGCCCACUUGCAUGGAAUAAAGCUGCCAACUUGCAUGAAAUGGUACAAAGGUUGCCAACUUGCAUGAAAUGGUACAAAUAUAAGGCUGUCCACUUGAUCUUAUAGAAAUGGAUUGUUUAAUAUUAUUAUUAGUUUAAUAUCUUGGAACUUGCUGCCGAAGUGGGUUUUGUUUGACUUUUUUAUUUAUUAUUAUUUUUGUAUGUAUAAAUUUUGUAGUGUAUUAUGCAUACAUUAUUAGGUUAAACAAUUUUUACACAUUAAAAUUAAUUAAAGGCUCUUUAUCAAUUUAAUGUGGAUAUUUAUGUGCUAGUUUAUUAUUUUAUUCAUGCAAUAUUUAAGUUGAAUAAUAUUAGUAGAUUAGUAUCUGAUUGUAUUGCUUAUGGUUUAGCAAUAGUUUGAGCCAACGAAUUUAAUUAAUGUUUGGUGAUCCAUAUAGUUUUAAUUAAUUAAGGAAUAGCCACAGCAUCUUUAAUUAAUUGAAAUUAUAUAUUAAGGUUCAUUUGGGAUCACAUUUGAAAAACAAACAUUAAUUGUGAUUAAUCAUACUUGAUAUGGUAAAUCUUAUCCCACUGAAAUUUUUAUCGUAUUAUGUGUGAUUAAUUAGGAUAAAAUAUCAAAUUAUAUUUUCUAAUUUACCCAUAGGAAUUAGAAAAGGGAACAUAAUUUGAUAGUUUUAUUGUUAAGUUAAAAUAAAUAUAAUUGAAUUAGAAUUUUAGCCCACAGGCAAGUUUUAUGUCACUAGAUUCAUGUUUUGCAUGUUUUUACAUUGGUAAAACAUGUCAUAUGUUAUUUUAGCUUCAAAUUUGUAACAUGAGCAUGAAUGUUUGAUUUAUUGCAGCAAGUCAACCUAUUAAUUUCUCUGAUAUGAAAUGUGAUAUUCCCGAGUUGAAAGGGGACAAUUAUAAGGUCUGGAAGGAGAGAGUUCUCCUUCACUUAGGAUGGAUAGACAUUGAUUACGCCAUAAGGAAGGAUGAGCCCCCUACAGUAACUGAUACCAUCACUCCAGAGGAAGUUCAACUUUAUGAAAAGUGGGAGCAAUCUAAUCACCUCUCCGUUAUAUUCAUAAAGACGAAAAUAUCUGCUGGUGUUAGGGGCUUUGUCGAGCAGUAUGACAAAGUCCAAGAUUUGCUUAAGGCCGUUGACGAACAAUUUGUCACUUCAUAUAAAGCGAUGGCCAGCACCCUCAUUAUGCAGUUUUCAUCCUUGAAGCUCACUGGCAUUAAGGGUGUGCGUGAUCAUAUCAUGCGCAUGAGAGAUAUAGCAGUCCAACUCAAGGCAUUGGAAGUUGAGAUGUUCGAAUCAUUCAUGGUUCACUUUAUCCUUUGCACUUUGCCUCAACAAUAUGGCCCAUUCAAGAUCUCCUAUAACACACAUAAAGAUAAAUGGUCCAUUAAUGAGUUGCUGACCAUAUGUGUUCAAGAAGAGGGCAGACUAAUUAUGGAGGAAGGUGAGAAGGAAAAGGUGUAUUUGACAACUCCAGGAAAGAAGAAGAAAGAUCAGGCCAAGGAAAAGGGGAAGGGAAAAAUCCAUCCUCAAAAGGACAUUAAGAAGGAGAUUGUGUGCUUCUUUUACAAGAAGAAAGGGCACCUUAAGAAGCAAUGCUCCAAGUUCAUGAAGUGGCUUGACAAAAAAGGUACUCAACUCUCACUUGUUUGUUAUGAAUCCAAUAUGAUUGAUAUUAAUCAUAACACAUGGUGGAUUGAUUCUGGUUCUACGAACCAUGUGACCAAUUCAUUACAGGACUUGCGAAACCUGCGAAAACCAGUGGGAAGUGAGCAUAGCAUCUAUUCAGGAAAUAAGAUGCCCUCGCAUGUGAAGGCAAUUGGCACGUAAGAUUGGUUUUAAGUAGUGGUUUCAUUUUAAAUUUAGAAAAAACCUUUUACAUUCCCAGUUUUUCUAGAAAUUUGAUGUCAAUUUCCAGACUUGUAUCAGUUGGUUAUUCCUUUAACUUUAAGACUCUGGAUUUAAUUUAUUUUAUAAAUCUGAUGUUAUUGGAUGUGGUACUUUGUUAGAUGGCCUUUUUCUUAUUAAUUUGCAAAACGAUGACAACCAUACUACCAUGCACGUUCAUGAAAAUAUUUUUAUUAAACGAUGUGUUGUGAAUGAAGAGUCUUCUAUAUUGUGGCAUCGGAGAUUAUGACAUAUCUCCAUUGAUAGAAUUAAAAAGUUGGUGAAUGAUGGGGUACUUAGUACUCUAGAUUUUACAGACUUUGAGACUUGUAUAGACUGCAUUAAAGGAAAGCAAACUAAUAAGUCGAAAAAGGGUUCCAAGAGAAGCUCUGAAUUAUUGGAAAUCAUACACACAGAUAUUUGUAGUCCAGACAAGGAAGCAUACCGUGAUAAAUACUUCAUCUCAUUCAUAGAUGAUUACUCACAAUAUAUGUAUCUCUACUUGCUUAACAGUAAAAAUGAAGCACUAGAUGCUUUUAAGGUAUUUAAAGCUGAAGUAGAGAAACAAUGUGGUAAACAAAUUAAGAUCGUGAUAUCCGAUAGAGGUGGAGAAUACUAUGGUAGAUACACUGAGAGUGGACAAGCGACAGGUCCAUUUGCGAGGUUUCUUCGAGAGAAUGGAAUUGUUGCCCAAUACAGUUUACCUGGUUCUCUGAACCAAAAUGGAGUAGCUGAAAGGAGAAACCAAACAUUAUUGGACAUGGUGUGAAGCAUGCUUGAUAGCUCCAAGCUUCCUCACUCUUUAUGGAUUGAAGCUCUUAAGACAGCUGCGUACAUAUUAAACCGAGCUCCAACCAAGGCUGUCCUAAAGACACCUUUUGAGUUAUUCAAGGGUUGGAAACCAAGUUUGCGACAUGUACGCAUUUGUGGAUGCACGUCUGAAGUGAGAGUCUACAAUCCACAAGAAAAAAGUUGGACCCAAAGACCAUAAGUGGGUAUUUCGUUGGAUAUGCCGAAAGGUCUAAGGGAUACAGAUUUUACUGUCCAUCUCAUAGCACUAGGUUUGUGGAAUCAAGAAAUGCAAAAUUUCUUGAAAAUGACUUGAUUAGUGGGAGCGAUCAAUCCCGAGGCAUUUGUCCUGAGAAAGAUCAUUCAGAUGCUUAGUGUGCCACUUCAAGCAAUGGACUGAGUAUUGUUGUUAACAAUACACCUUGAGUACAAACGCAUAAUGAAGGAUCAGCCCACGAAGUUCCACAAGCUAUUAAGCCUAAUCUAGUAGAUGCUGAAGUUCAACGGAUGCCUGAAGCUAUUGAACAGUCUGCUGAACAAAAUGAUCCUGCUUCUCAGAAGAAUAUUGAUGCAGCAUUAAGAAGAUCUACUAGAAUAAGGAAAUCGACGAUUCCUAGUGACUUUGUUGUGUAUCUACAAGAGGCUGACUAUAAUGUUGGAGUUGAAAAUGAUCCUGAAACGUUUUCACAAGCCAUGAAUUGUAAAGAAUCAAUUUUAUGGUACAAUGCCAUGAAAGAUGUGAUGGAUUCGAUGGCAUCUAACAAAGUCUGGGAUCUCGUCAAGUUGCCUGAUAGUGUAAAAGCCAUUGGAUGUAAAUGGGUUUUCAAAACAAAGAAAGACUCACUAGGCAACAUUGAGAGACAUAAAGUAAGACUCAUUGUCAAAGGAUUCACUCAAAGGGAAGGAAUCGAUUACACAAAGACAUUCUCUCCUGUAUCUAAGAAAGAUUCCCUUCGAGUAAUUAUGGCAAUGGUUGCCCAUUUUGAUUUACACUUGCAUCAAAUGGAUGUGAAAAUGACGUUCCUUAAUGGUGAUCUAGAGGAAGAGGUUUACAUGAAACAUCCUGAAGGAUUCUCCUCUAGUGGUGGUGAGCACCUGAUUUGUAAGCUUAAUAAAUCCAUAUAUAGAUUAAAACAAGCUUCCCGUCAAUGGUAUUUGAAAUUCCAUGAUGUCAUCACUUCGUUUGGUUUUGAAAAGAACGUCAUGGAUCAUUGUAUAUACCAAAAGGUCUGUGGGAGCAAGAUUUGUUUCCUUGUUCUAUAUGUGGAUGAUAUUUUAGUUGCAACAAACAAUAAGGGUUUGUUACAUGAGGUAAAGCAAUUCCUCUCAAAGAACUUUGAUAUGAAGGAUAUGGGUGAGGCAUCUUAUGUCAUUGGCAUUAAGAUUCAUAAAGAAAGAUCUCAAGGCAUUUUAGGUUUGUCUCAAGAGACCUAUAUUAACAAAGUUUUAGAGAGAUUUAAAAUGAAGGACUGUUCGCCUAGUGUAGCACCUAUUGUGAAGGGUGAUAGGUUUAGCCUAACUCAAUGUCCCAAAAUGAGCUCGAGCAGGAACACAUGAAAAACAUUACAUAUGCUUCAGCCAUUGGAAGCCUAAUGUAUGCUCAGGUCUGUACCAGACGUGACAUUGCAUUUGUUGUUGGAAUGCUAAUGAGAUAUCAGAGUAAUCCAAUCGUGAACCACUGGCGAGCUGUAAAGAAAGUGAUGAGGUACCUUCAGGGGACCAAAGAUUACAUGCUUAUGUACAGAUGGACUGACAAUCUGGAAGUGGUUGGCUACUCGGAUGCAGACUUUGCUGGUUGUGUUGAUUCAUGAAAAUCAACAUCUGGUUACAUUUUCAUACUUGCAGGCGGAGCUAUACCUUGGAGAAGAGCGAAGCAGACCUUGACUGCUACUUCCACUAUGGAGGCCGAGUUCGUGUCUUGUUUUGAGGCUACUUCACAUGGUGUAUGGUUGAAGAGUUUCAUGUCUGGGCUUAGAAUAAUCGAUUCAGCUUCUAGGCUAUUGAGAUUAUACUAUGACAACUCAGCUGCCGUGUUUAUGGCUAAGAACAACAAGAGUGGUAGUCGAAGUAAACACAUCGAUAUUAAAUACUUAGCCAUUAGAGAACGUGUUAAGGAGAAGAAAGUGGUCAUUGAGCACGUUAGCACUGAGUUAAUGAUUGCUGAUCCUUUAACUAAAGGCAUGCCACCAAAGAAUUUUAAGGAUCAUGUCGCGAGAAUGGGACUUGGUUCCGUGAUGUAAUUUUAUUGUAGGUACAUUUGAUGUUUUAAUGAAACUCUUAUUCAGUCGAUGUUUUCUCAUUUGUUUUGUACACAUAUUUGUAUAUUCAUUUACCUUGAGAAAUAUCAUUGAUUUUUGGACCUUGAAUAAACAUAGGGUUUAUUCAUUAAGUCAUAUGGGUUGGUGUUUAAGAGACAUGAUAUACUGUGAUACAUGGAAGAUAAUACUCGCUUUAAAGGACUUAUCACUAUGAUUCAUGUAUUAUGUUUCUUAUUAUGAUGAAUGAUGGUAUAUAUGGACCAAGUGGGAGAAUGUUGGAUUAUAACCAACUUAAGAGUGGUCCACGUAUCCCAUGUCCCACUAUGAAAGCAGUUAACCCAACGUUUAAAGUCAUGUUUGGUAACCACCCAUGGACGUGCAUAACCGCUCUGUGAUGGGAAGAGCAUUUUAAAGGCGUUGAGAUCCAUUCAGAAGGUCCCUAAGCUCAUUUUCAUGUUCAUUCUACAUACACCAUCUAAUCAGUGAAAAAGAGAGCUUAGAAGAGCCUUAACCCGAAAUUAAACACCACCUACAAGCUUGAGAAAGUGUGUGAACAACGACAAUGACGGGAGGUAAGUUUUUCGAUCCAAUUUAUUCCGCAAUGAACUAAAUGCUAUUUUGUUGAUUAAAGCAUGUUUAGAUUGCUUAAGUAGACGUUACAUAUUACAUAUAAUUAUAGUUAAUUAAUUAUUUUGUUGAUGCUUUAAUCAAGGUUUGUAUAAUUUUCAUUAGUUUAUUCACUUUCCUCUCUAUUUCCUUGCGUGAUGCCUCCCUUCUACAAAGUUGUUGCAUUCUUUCGUUGCCCUAAUUGCUCUACCUAUAUUAUAUACCAUGUGAAAGUUGAAUUUUGUUUGAUAUAUGCAUAAAUUGUGUGGAAGAAUUUUCGUUCCGUGCAUAUAAUUCGUCUAUUGUAUCCAGAUUUGCUUUGUUUAAAAGAAAUAUGCCUUCUUUCUCUUUCAUUGUUGAUUUUUAUUCUAAUUUCUACCAAAAAUUUGCAUGUCUUCUUUACUGAUGUGCUAGGUUAUUAUUAGCUCAUGAAUAGUUGGAGGUUAUAUUUGGUAGGUUUAUUUUCUAGAUACAAUUAUCCAGAGCUGUAGUGCAAAAAUUCUGAUCAAAUCGUUUUUGCGAAGCCAAUGAUUUAUGUAUUUAAAAAGCUUCAUUUCUGAGUUUCACCACCACUUCUUCUACUUAACUUGUGGCAUUUCGAUUUGAUAACAAUCUUCUGAUGAUUCAUCAAUUUUCUUUGCUUGGUAACCGUGAUCAUGGAAAAUCUUUGAUGAAAUUAUGGAAUCAUAGUAUUUGGAUUGUUCAGAAUUAUGUUCCUUAUAGUUUCUGGAAAUGAUUCCAAUAAAUAAUUGAGGUGGAGUCGGAAUUGCUUCAAAUACGAGCUUAAGUUCAAUCUUCUCAAAUUUAACGCUUUAACUGUAUACAUGGAAUGCAUCUAAAUUAUCUGGCAUGCCUUUGGAUAUUGAUAUUGGCCCUGUCACGGAGAGAAGUCUAAAAAUAUUUGAUAUGUUAGUCAGUCACCCUUUAUCUACUACAAGUGGAUAUUCUGCAAUUGUGAUGCCUUACCAAUAUUUUGUUUUAUUUAUCUUUCAAUUGCAGAUCCACUAUUGAAAAUUAAGAAGAAAACUUUUACAUGCUGUUAGAAUAUUUUUUGGGGAUAUUUUUCUUUGAGUUGCUUUUAUUUUAUUGUGGAGAGAACCAAUAGGAUUCUGGAUUUUUGGCAUUCACAUGGUCCAUUCCAUAGUCCAAUCCUUUAACUAUUUUUGCUUCUACCACAAUAGACUGUAAUUUUUAGAAAUAUUACAUACAACUUACGUUCGUACGUUUUGCCAGUACUUUGGUCAUUUGAUUAAUGGUACAUGUGGAAUGGAAUAAAUUCCUACAAAUGUAUGUCCAUGCACUUAUUUUCUGCAUAAAUGGCUAAUCCAUCUUAUUACGAUUUCCAAAUUUUUUUUGAAGCAGGAAUUGAAAACGGGAAGAUGACGGUAUCCAUUAUUUGGCGUCUUUAGGCACCUCCAUAUAUGAAUCAAGUGAUGUUGGAUAUGUAUAUAUCUCCAUAUAUGUGUUGGAAGUCCGUUGGAUAUGAUUCUAUUAAUUGAUGUUUGUUAAUAAUCAGUGGAAGAAAUAAUAUUACUAGUAAAUCACCCACUUCAAAAUUUGGUGAGAGAAAUAAUGCAACAAGUAAGUUAUCCAAGACAGUUUCAUCAAGUUCACAUUCUGUUUUAAUAUCUCGUAGUCAUUAUCCUAUAAUGAAAUCUCCAAUAAGCACAUCUCCCUCAUCAAUUCCUUGAGCUGCAAAUUGUUGUUGCCUUAUGAUAAAGUCACAUACAAGCAUUUUGUUGAAAUCAAUCACAGUCAUCUUUUAUCUCACUAUUUUUGUUCUUAUUUUAUAUUAUGGAAAAGAGAGAAAAAGUAAAAUAAAAUGGAACAGGGUUGGGAAAAACUUCCGAACCGAAGCGAACCGAACCUAACAGUUCUUUUCAAGUUAAAUACCCGAAUGGGUAUUUGAAUUGAGAAUCGACGAGUACGGGUCGGUUCUCGGUUCUAGACCAAGAACCGAAGAACCGAAUCUUCCUAAUUUUUUUAUAUUGAAUAAAUCAAAUUAUUUUAAUUUUUUCUAAACAAAUUAACUAAUUAGGUGAUUGAUUGAUAUUUCAUCUCCCAAGCCCUAGCCUAGCUAGCUUAAUCCAACCCAACCAAUUUCUAAAUCCAAUUUUUAGGCCCAAUUCUUUGUUUCAUUUCUAAUUUUUUUAAUUUUUAGCCCAAGUGUGUGAAAUUAACAUACAAGUGUAAAUGAUUAAUGGGAGCCUACUUACAAAAACUUCUAAUACUAUCGAGCAACGAGGAGAAAAAAAAUGUUCUGGGAAGUUCAUUUUCCAAAGCGUUUGAUGAAUAAAUCAAAUAGUUGGUAAGUAUUAGCAAUACUUUAAAAUAAUUUUUAUCUAUAACUUUUAAUUUAUGUUUCUUUUUUCAUGUAGACUUUAAGGUUUGAAGCAAACGAACCAUUGAAUGGAUCGUUGAAGUUUUAGUAUUAGUAUCUACUCCUUUGGUAUUUGUAAGCAUUGGUAAAUUAAUCUUAUUAGACAACUUGUUAUUUACAUGUUAUUAAAUCGGACUACAUUAAUUUGUAAAACUACGAUAGAAUGUGUCAUUAGUUGUAUUUAUGUAGUAUUGUUAUAAAUGUUAAAAAAUUUAAUUAUAGAACGGAACCAAAUUGAACCAAAUCCGAACGAUUCGAACCCAACAGUUCAAUUUACUAAAUACCCAAAAAAAUUUGGUUCGAUUCAGUACGUUUUAAAACCAAACCUAAUCGACCCGCUCCCAGGCCUAAAAAUAACAAUAGAAUAAUAUAGGUAAAAGUCCAAAUUAGUGUUAUGGUAAAUAAAAUUAAACUAAAACUCAAUCCCUUGCCAAGGUGUCCAAAACUUGUUCAUAAAAAUAUAUUUCGAUUUAAAACCUCUGCAAGUGUACGGUUUGUUAACAAGAAAUAAAGUGUAUGUGAAUUCAAGUAUCAUCCCACAGAGAUUCAUUUAGUUCAAUUUUUAUUACCAUGACCUCUAACCGAAACAAAAGUAAUACUGUGUGUUUUUAUGAUGAAAUUGUUAAGUAAAAUAAAUUACAUAUGCAACUAAGAAUGAGUUAACUAAACUAAAUGCAAUUUAUGAUUAAUUAUGCAAAAGUAAUAUUGUGUUCAAAUGAAUAGCAAACGUACUAGGAUCGCGAAUUCUCAUGCAAUAAUCAUUUUUUACUUUAGUUUUACAAUUCAACAACACAGUUUAAUAUUGAAAAAUCAAUGUUCUUAUUAUAUUUAACAAUCUCUUCGAGUAAACUUAAACCCAUUCUCAUAGAUGACCCAAUUAUAUUUCCAUGACAGAUGCAAACAUAUAAGAAUGCAUAAAUUUUUGUGAACACUUAAAAAUUCACAUGGAGUAUAGAGGUAUAUUUGAAUCCACUAUUGGACCCUACGACAAUUUAUACCAUAUGGAGCCUAUUCCCCUUCUUUGAAUACACAAUAAUUGUGGAGAAAAUAAAUUCAUAUAAACAUUCAAAUUCCCAAAAAGUGUUUUAAUGUCAAGAAUAUGAAACUAAAGAUUAAAAGGUCGCAUCACAUGGUUCGUCAUUCUCCUAGUACAUAUAAAUAUAGCCUAGCAUGGUGAAAAUAAGAAAACAAAUAUUGAAGAAAUGACAUCACCUAAUUAAUCCUGAUUUGAAUUUUCGUGUCUUCGAGUCGAUCUUCAUGUUUCUUGCCUUCUCUGUGCUCUAAAACUCUUAGAAAUAGGUUGGAAUGCAUCAUCAUUCCUUAUGGAAGUCCCUAGGUUAAAAGACGUCCAAAAAAAAUAUCCAUAAAAAUUUCAAGUAGAUAAGGAAAUCAGAAUUUUUUUUCACCGCAAUUAAUCUGGACAGUUGCUCAAUCUAAACUUUAAGUCUCAGUAUUUAUUCUUCAUGGUUGGGAGGUCGUCCGGCCUAAUAUAACGGGCAAUUGCCCAAUUAUAUUAACUUUUAACUGUUUCGUUUUAGUCCGCAAACUCCGUUUUCUCCUUUCUUGACCUUUUUUUCUCAUUUCUUCUUCUUCCAAUACUCUAUGUCUAAACUAAAUUGGUCUUUGACUCUUUCACAUCUUCGUUCCUACUUCCGAUCACCUUUCAAUUAUUUUCACUUUGAUCCCUGAACUUUUAUUUUCUUUCAUUUUGGUCUUUUUUUGUUUAUUUCUCCUCAAACCCACCACAUUCAGCGAUGUUGUCCUGGAAAACAUAAAUUAAAUAGAUUUAAGCAUAAUUCAAAUAUGUUUAUCAAUAAUCAUACAUGUUUUGUGGUCAAAAUAAAUGUGUAAAUUGCACUUAUCAGAGCCAUUUCCCGUCCAGGCUGGUUAAAGGUCUAUAUUAAGGUAAACAUGGGCAAAUAUUUAAAACAUGACUUCACCACCAACAAAUGCUAAACAAGUAAGUUAAUAAAUAAAACAUGAUAUUGUAACAGAAUCAGUUACAAGCUAGCCAAUAAGAGGUCACCAUUUGUCAAAUUUCUCUAAAUGACCGAAUUGUCUUGUAGCCUUGAGGGGAUUCUAUGAAUAUUCCUCCCGAAGAGAAGGAAACCAUGCAAAAUUCAAAUAUCUCCCUCCGAAAUAGUCAUUUCUCUUCUUGCUCCGGUUUGAGCAUCAAAACCACUGAGCUUAGGACACAAAAAUCCUGGCUUGGUGAAAGAAAUUUUUUGAUCUGAUUUUAUCGUCAACAUAUAUAUUAAUCAGUGCUCAUCAUAAACAAAUUUACAAAAGACAAAACUUACAACUAGUUUGCGAUUUUUUAGAUUUAAUUUUUGGCGCUUGGGUUGCUUAGGGCACUACCUUGAUGAGGGCCCCCAUAAAAUAUAUUUAUUAUAUAUAUUGUCUCUAUAAAUAAUAAUGAAAAAAUUCCAGAAAAAAGUUUUAUAUUCUUCAAAGCAUAAAAGGUUUUUUUAACACAUUCGUGACUUUUCAUUUUGUUUGUUGUUUUCUUGUUUCUAGGUUGACUCUUGUAUUUUACAUAUUCAUACGAUUGAGUUCUUGGGUUUUCGAAAUGGUGUAAAAAGAAUUGCUUCAAAUCAAUCACUUUCUCUCUAUUUGUGUGACGUUUCUUUUUUUUAUUCAACCUUUCAACUUUUAUUUAAUUAUCUCUGCUUGUUUACUCAUCUUAAAUUCCACCCUCUGUAAAUUCUCUAGCUUAUGCUUGUAGUUAUAUGAUUUUUUUGCUUGAGUUUUUAUGCCUUCUUAUAUAUUUAUUUAAUGCCUUCUUAGUUUUCCAAACUAAUCUCGGAUGGUUACUCAAGGUUUUAUCUUCUUUUCUGCAAUUAAUUAACUAUAAGCAUGCAAAGUUAAUUGGUUGAUUGAAGAAAAAUGAACAGACUAAGAAAUGUACACUCGUAAUAAUAGCUUUCAUCCAAAAAGAAUUAUAAUGUUAAAAAUAAGAUGUUAAUUUUUCUUGAUACAUUUAAUCCAUUGUAUUCUUAUCAAGUUCUUCGUUAUUUCAUUAGUCUAUACUUUUUAUGAAUAAUAUUUUCUUAAUAGAUUCUCAAUAUUAUUAUUUUACAAUUUAUCUAAGUGAAAAUCACUUACCAGGUUCCAUUGUUACUCAAGUAAUUUAAAAUUUGGUCUUGUAUUGAUUUUGGAUUGUUGAUGACUUUAAUCUGUCUACUAGAAAAUAUUUUUAUGGCCAUAAAAAGAUAAAAAAGAAGAGAAAAACUGAAGAGCUUAUUCAAUCUCAAGUAUGAGUUAUGGAUGAGUUUCUUGAUCUAAUUUUGAAGGAACAAAUCCAGCGUAUAAAAGAAAAGGAAAUUCAUUACUCUUAUCUUAGUCAUAAAAUUUGGAUUUGUGGAUUGCUUGAAUAUUUUGAUUGAUAAGAGUUGAAAUGUGUAAAUAAAUCAUAAAAAAAAAAGAUUGAGAGGUUCCAAGGAUAUUGUCUAUGAUAGAGAUUAGUUUGAAUUUAAAUUAAAGUAGCUAUUUUCGUGGGAUUAGUCAUGUGAAUUCUUGUAUAUAACCUGCACAUGUAUUCUGUAUAACUUAAUGAAGUUGAGCAUAUUUCUCCUUCAAUUACUUCAGAUUUUUUCUGUAAUAACCAGAUUUUUUCAUGGUAUCAGAGCAUUGCCUAGGAAUUUUCUCUGAUUAGAAGCAACUAGUAUUCACUCUUUGUUCACACAUCAUGAGCAUAGAUAAAUCAACAACCUCGAACUCCAUUGGAGACACCUCCACUGGAAACACCUCAGACCCACCUCAUUUGUACACCUCUGAUCACCCAGGUGUAAGUCUUGUUUCCAAAACAUCGAAUGGUGACAACUAUGCUACCUGGAGUAGGUCAAUGAGCAUUGCUCUCAGUGCCAAAAACAAAACGGGAUUCAUAGAUGGCUCCAUCAAAAAGCCCUUUACAGAUGAUGAAAAAUACGCACCUUGGAAGAGAUGCAAUGAAAUGGUGUUAUCAUGGAUCCUAAAUUCUAUUGAUCCAUCAUUGUCAGACAGUGUUAUCUACACAGAGUUGGCUUCGAGUGUUUGGGAAGAUCUAAAAGAUUGUUUCUCUCAAAACCAUGCUUCAAGAAUCUCUCAGGUGAAAAGGAAGAUUGUUUCUUUACACCAAGAAACUAUGUCUGUCACAGCCUACUACUCCAAGAUUAAGGGCUUAUGGGACGAGCUCUCAUUCCAUAAUGAUAUCCCUGUAUGUACCUGUUCUGCAAGCUCAAAGCUUGCCCAACAAUAUCAACUAAAUAAAGUAAUGUAGUUCUUAAUGGGAUUAAAUGAUACUUAUUCAGCAAUUCGUGGUCAACUAUUGUUGAUGCAACCAUUACCCUCUAUUGGAAAGAUUUAUGUAAUGGUUUUGCAAGAAGAAAAACAAAGAGAUAUCACUAUUUCGAGGGAAGCAAUGUUGGCAAGUGUAAGAAAAUCAGGGAGCUAUACGUAGCAGAAAGGAAGGUCAAAACAUCAUUGUUCACACUGCAAUGGUACUAAUCACACAGUAGACAAGUGCUAUCAUUUACAUGGAUUCUCUACUAGCCACAGGCACAACAAAUGGUCAGAGAAUGGAGAAGUAAAGAAGUUACAACCAAUCGUGAAUAAUGUUCAUACAGAAGUGCUCUUCUUCACGCAAGAGCAGUAUCAACAGCUAUUGAACUUGCUCAAUAACAAAGGUAAAAGUGGUAUGGAUUAGCCUCAAGCAAAUGCGACAAGUCAGUUUGUCCCAUCUUGCUUGAUUACUAGCUCUCAAAAAAUUAGCUGAAACAAUGGAUCAUAGAUGCAGGUGCUACCGAUCACAUUGCAGCCACCACUUCCAUGUUUAAAACCAUGUCGAAACCAAAGUACCCAUAUGUUAGAUUGCCAAAUGGUCAAAAGGCCCAAGUUACAAAAUUUGGAACAAUAAUAAUUGACUCCAAAUUCAAAAUUUCAGAUGUCUUACUUGUUCCAAGCUUUCAUGUAAAUCUUUUAUCUGUAAGUAAGAUGACAAAGGACUUGAAUUGUUCUCUUACCUUUUUCCCAAAUUUCUAUAUUUUGCAACAAUUGGAAAUGAAGAAGAUGAUUGGUUUCGGAAGGCAGCAUAAUGGUCUAUAUUACCUCACACCAAAACCACAAAUAAACCAAGCCAGUCCGACACGUCUUCCAAACAGCCUUUGGCAUCAAAGACUUGGACACCCAUCAUCAUCACCCUAGAAACAUCUCAUGGAAUCUUGUUCAGGAGUUUCUUUUGCUUCCAAUAAAGUUUGUGCUAUCUGCCAUCUUGCAAAACAAACCAGACUUUCUUUUGGCUUAAGUUCAAUAAAAACACAAUCUUGCUUUGAAUUAAUUCAUUGUGAUAUAUGGGGUGCUUUUAGAGUACCAUCACUUACUGGUGCUUACUAUUUCCCGACAAUUGUUGAUGAUUAUUCAAGAUACACAUAGGUAUAUCUUAUGUGUUUCAAGUCAAAGACUCAAGGUAUACUGAAAUCAUUCUUUUCUUUAGUUCAUAUCCAGUUUAAUGUACAAGUUAAAAGAAUUCAGUCAGAUAGUGGAAAAGAAUUCAGUUCAAUGAUUCCUUUCUUUUGUGAAAAAGGAGUUUUAUUUGAACAUAGUUGCACCAUAACUCCACAACAAAAUGGAGUGGCCGAACGCAAACAUAGGUACAUUUUAAACAUUGCUAGAGCUCUAAGAUUUCAAGCAAACUUAUCUUCACAUUUUUGGGAUGAAUGUGUCCUUACAGCAAUGUAUCUUCUCAAUAGAACACCUACACUUCUUCUUGCCAAAAAGACACCCUAUGAGCUUCUCUACAAAUAUACUGCUAACUACACUCACUUAAAAGUCUUUGGAUGCCUCUAUGAAGCCACUAAUGUCAAUCCUACACUUAAAUCUGAUCCUAGAGCUAAAAAGUGUCUUUUUUUGGGUUAUCCCCUAGAUCAAAAAGCAUACAAGGUGAUGGAUUUAGAAAAUAAGAAAGUGUUCACAAGUCGAGAUGUCAUUUUUCAUUAAACGCAUUUCCUUAUGGUCCUACUACACCUACCACUAAAACCACUAUACCAGUUUUGCCAAUUCCAGCAACAGAUAUGUCAGAUAACUAUUCAUCGACGGGAUCAUCUUCACUGCCUACAACAUGUGCUGAUACACAAGAACCUCUCAUCAACCCCACUUCACUCGAGACCCACCAUCACCAAUCCAGCAAGCUAUACCUAGACGGUCAACAAGAAUUCGCCAACCCUCUAUAUGGCUUAAAGACUUCCAAUACCCUCAUGCCAUUAUGCUACAGCCUCGUUCUAAUUCAUCUCCCUCGACACCAGGUUACAAGCAAGGUACGUGAUAUCCUCUUGCCAAUUAUCUUUCAUAUGAUAAAUUGUCCUCUUCGCACCUUCAAUUGGUUUCCUCCAUUUCUAAAACAUUGGAACCAAGUACAUAUGAACAAGUUGCGAGUGAUCCAAAUUGGGAAGAAGCAAUGAAGUAAGAAAUUCAAGCACUGGAAAGCAACAAUACCUGGAUAUAUGCACAUUUACCAGUUGGGAAAAAAGGCUAUUGGAUGUAAGUGGGUGUACAAAAUAAAAUACAAUUUUUAUGGGAGCAUUGAGAAGUACAAAACGCAUUUAAAGCAUUGAAAAGUACAAAAUGCAUUUAGUAGCAAAAGGAUACACACAAGUUGAAGGUCUUGACUACAAUGAAACUUUUGCUUCAGUUGCCAAACUUGUCACAGUAUGUUGUCUACUUGCUAUUGCUGCUGUGAAAACAAUGGUCACUUCAUCAGCUUGAUGUCCAAAAUGCAUUUUUGCAUGGGACCUUUUUGAAGAAGUUUAUAUGAGGCCACCGCCUGGCUUUAGUCGAUAGGGAAGAACAAACAACUAUGUUGUCGACUAAAUAAGUCUCUAUAUGGCUUAAAACAACUUUCCAGAAAUUGGAAUGCAAAAUUUUCAAGUGCAAUUUGUAAGGCAGGAUUCAAACAGUCGAAGGCAGAUUAUUCUCUAUUCACUAAGUCCGAAGGCCAGUCAUUUGUUGAUGUUUUAAUUUAUGUAGAUGACAUGAUAAUAACUGGAAACAACAGUGAAGCAAUCGAAGCACUAAAACAGUUUCUCAACCAACAAUUCAAGAUCAAAGAUUUGGUGAGUUGAAGUAUUUUUUGGGCAUCGAAGUGGUAAAAUCAAGUUUAGGAAUAUGUACUUCACAGAGAAAAUAUACACUAGACCUUCUUGAUGAAGUAGGGAUGUUAGCAGCUGCAUUAGUUGCUACUCCAAUAGAGCAAAAUCUAAAAUUAAGACCUUCACAGGGGGAGCCACUCCCUCACAAUAUCUAGACCUCAUAUUCAAUACUCAAUUCCCUUAUUGAGUCAGUUCAUGGUUCAACCUAGAAAACCACGUUAUGAAGCAACAAUGAAAGUGCUCGGAUAUUUGAAAGGUUCACUUGGACAAGGAUUACUAUUUCCAUUGGAAAGUGACUUUAAAUUGACUGAGUAUUGUGAUGCUGACUGAGGUGGAUGUCCAACUACAAGAAGAUUAGUGAUAGGAUAUUGCAUUUACAUUGGUAGCUCACUUAUUUCUUGGAGAACAAAGAAACAAACAACCGUUUCAAGAUCUUUUCCUAAAGUAGACUAUCGAGCCAUGGCAGCAGUAACAUGUGAACUAACUUGGCUUAGAUAUCCAUUCAAAGAUCUCGGGACAUUGAUCAAAGCACCAACAACUUGCAUUGUGACAACAAGGCAACUUUACAAAUAGCUACAAAUCCGAUUUUCAACGAGAGAACUAAACACAUUGAGAUAGAUUGUCAUCUGAUUCGAGACAAGAUCAAACAUGGUCAAUUAACUACAAAAUUUACUGCAUCUCAGACACCGAUUGCUGACAUAUUUACUAAAGCUCUUAGAAAGGGUCCCUUUUCUUCACACAUGAGCAAGUUGGGGACAAUCAAUAUUCAUGCUUCAACUUAAGAGGGAAUGUUGAAAUGUGUAAAUAAAUCAUAACAGAAAGAUUGAGAGGUUCCAAGGAUAUUGGCUAUAACAGAGAUUAGUUUGAAUUUAAAUUAAAGUAGCUAUUUUCGUGGGAUUAGUUAUGUUAAUUCUUGUAUAUAACCUACACAUGUAUUCUGUAUAACUUAAUGAAGUUGAGCAUAUUUCUCCUUCAAUUACUUCAGAUUUUUUUUAAUAAGAAAUAUUAUUUUUUGUUACUGUUUAUAUAUUUGUAAAUAUUUAUAGGGCCAACAUUUAAAGUUGAUCUAAAGCCUCAAAAUCUCAAGGUCGACUCUAUAAGAAGCUAAGAAAUCCUGUUGACUAUUAGAAUCCAAAUUACUAUUAAUAGUCAUAUUUUGCACUUCAUAUAAUUGGUUUCAAAUUGAUUCUUGAACGUAGAUGAAAAGAAAAUGAUUGCCGAUAAACUCAAUGAGCUCUUUGGGUGGGUACGGGUGGGAUGAUGUGCGAGGGGAAUGUGGUGGAGGAUGAUGGGUUGCAGAUAUUUCUUUCUUUUUUAUUAUUUUAAUUGGGUUUAAAAAUGUAAACUUACCAUUUUAUCCUUCACUUAAUUGGUAGGAUUGAAUCAACGUUUUAAUUUUUUUUGGUCAAUUUACGAAUUAAUGACGAAAUCGGCCUAUUGUCCUCCAGUUGCAAUUGAAAUGAAAGGUUUAGAACUGUGGUUACAAAAAUUAAAAGUUUGUACAUAGUCUGUAACUAAUUGAAAGGUUUUGGACUCCAAUUGCAAUUUUUCCUAAUUUAUGUUAUUAAUUUCCAAUCAUGUUUCUAUGAUUUCUCAUAUAUAUAAUUGAAUGUUUCAACUUUUAUUUUUCAGCAAAUCAUUGGAAUUAAUUCUAUCUUUACUUUACUUCAAUCUCAAAAGCUUGCAUUCAUGCAUCUUACUACUAGUUACAUUAGUGGCGUAGAUUAUAGAACUAUGUACCAAGCCUCCACUUGGGAAGAAUUUAUGAACGGUUUAAUUUAUUAAAAAGGUAGAAAUGAUUGGUAAAUAAGUUUAUAGUACUUAUAUGUUCAUUUAAAUAUAUAAUUAAAAAUGAAAUUUUUUUAUAGAAUAGAGAGAAAGAAAAAUCAAUAGACUUGUGUAUAUUUUAUUGAGAACAUAGCUCAUAUGUAUAUGGAAGAAUUAGGAAUGCAAUAAUAAUAAUAAUUAGGAUUGUAAGAGUAUAAUUGUCUUUCACUAAUAAUCAUACUACUUACAACACUCUCAUUGAAUGAUACAUUACAAAAUAUUUGCCUCAUUAAAAGUUUAUUUGAUAAAAAUCCAAUGGAACAAAAAUAUAAAAUGAAGGAAAAAGAGUAUAAUUAUUUUGGAAUAUUAAAAAUAUUUGUUUUCUCAUUAAAAUCUUGCAAUAAAAACCCAGUGGAAUAAAACCUUAGCGAAGGAACAAGAGUACUACUCUCUCUGAUGUUGAUCAAUGAAAAUCUUUGAGUCGACGUAUCCAAAUGUUGUUAACCAAUUUCUUGAAUGUAGAUGUCGACAGUGCUUUUGUGAAUAAAUCUGUCAUAUUAUCAUUUGAGCAAAUUUAUUGAACAUCAAUAGCACCAUUCUUCUAAAACUCGUGUGUUUGAAAGAAUUUUAAAUAAAUAUGUUUUGCCAUAUCUCCUUUGAAAUAGCCUCCUUCAACUUGUGCAAUACAAAUUACACUAUCUUGUAAAAUUUGUUGGACUAUCUUUUGUAGAAGUUAAUCCACAUGAAACUUGGAUAUAAUGGAUUAUGUUCCUCAAUCAUAUACAUUCUUGACCUUCUUUGUGAAUUGAAAUAAUUUCAAAAUGAUCUAAAGAUGUUGCUGCCAAUGUUUGAUUCACGGAUAUCCAUAAUAUAUCUUUUGUUCCACGCGUAAACACAUAUUCUAUUUGUGAUUUAGUUUUAUAUAUAUUAAAGAGAUAACCUACAUCUACAUAUCAUACUAAAGCAGAUCUCAAAUUUUAAGAAAAAAAUUAAUACCAAAUGAAUAAUAAGAUAUGGAUCUCUUUUUAAUGAAGUGAUCAAUAAACCAUAGAUGAUGUCAUUAAUGGAUGUGUUUUAUCCAUAUAAAAAUAUUUUAGAACUUUCUACAUACGAAGAUUAGUGAACAAAUAAUCCUACUAUAAAUGUUCAAUAUUCAACCUAAGAUAAAAAUUUAUUUUUUCCAAAUCUUUCAUCUUAAAUUCAUUUUUCAAAUAAUCAUUAGUUUUGUUUAGCUUUUCAGGAGUUCCAACUAGAUUAAAUCAUCAACAUAAAUUGUCACAAUUGUAAAUCCAAUAUUUAUUUUUUUAUAAAAACAUAUGGGCUGACAUCGUCAUUUUUAUAACCUAACUUCAACAAAUAUAUGCUAAGACAAUUCUACCAUAUGCUUCCGGAUUGUUUCAACCCAUAUAAUGAUAUUUACAUUUAAAUUGAAAACAUAAUUCUUGUGUAUAUAUCAUUUGUUCCUAGCACUUUAAAUCCUUCGGAGACUUUCAUAUAUGUGUCACUAUCAAGUGAACCAUAUAGAUAAACAGUUACUAUAUUCAUAAGGUGUUGUCGGGCAUUUCUAACACGGUCAAACUAAUUAAGAAUCCAAAAGUAAUAGGCGCCAUUGUGGGAGAAUAUGUUUCUUAAUGAUCAAUUUUAGGUCUUUGUGAGAAAUCUUCAGGUACAGGUCAGGCUUUGUAUCUUGUAAUUUCAUUAUUUUUAUUUCUCUUCCCUACAAAAAUCCACUUGUAUGCUGCACAAAUUACAUUAUCAGGUAUUCGAGUCACAAGUACAAACAUUUUUCAUUUCUUUAAUGAAUUCGGUUACACAUGUAUGGCUUCUUUUCAUUUUGGCCAAUCAUUUAUAUGUUGACAGUUUUUCAUGUAGUUCAAGAUCCUCAUUUUCCAUAAUUUCAAGAGGCAUGUUAAAGGAAAAAUAUUAUAUAUAAAAAUUGAAUAUUCAAUCCCUAUUGACAUAUAGUAAUCAUUGAAUGCUUGUGAAUUAUAUCAAGAUUAAUUGUCUUGAUUGAGUGAUCGAGAAACUAAACUUGUAAUUUUAUGAUUUGAGCAAGUAGUCUAGCAAAAACUACAUUUCUAGUGGAAAGUAGACAGGCUUGGACCAUCUAGUAGAAGAAUUAAUUAAUACCAUAAAAUAACGAAAUGAUCCAUAUGACAAAUAUAUCAGCUAACAUAUAUCUCCAUGAAUUCUUUUCAAAAAGUUGUAGAUUCAAUAUUGACCUUUGUAGUGGAAGAUCUAAUAACUAACUUACCUUAUGAACAAGCAACAUAUGGAUAAUUAUUAGGUAAAAGAAUCUUCUGAUUUUUUAGUGGAUGUUCAUGUGAAUUGUUAAUUAUUUGGCACAUCAUUAUAUUUUCUGGAUGUUCAAGUUGGUCAUGCCAAAAUAGAAAACUUUUUUGUGUCAGUGAAUUACAGAAUUGCGAUAAUAUUUGAUUCGGCUAUUUUUAUAAAUAUAUAAUACAUACCAGAUAGGAAUGCAUGAAAUUUUUCUAUUAUCUGUUUAUAGUCAAAUACAAAAGAAGUUAUUCAAAUAUAUAUAAUAUUAUGUUCUUACACCUUCUCAAUGUGAUCCACUGCAGUAAAUAUCUUUUCAAAAUUAUACAAAUUCUUCCUGAAUUUUCAUCAUAUUCGAUGCCCCUGAUAUCAUAUUACUAUUAUAUUCUACUAAUGUUAAAUUCAAAAAAUACUUUUUUAUAUUGAAAUAUAGUAUGCAUGGUUGCUCUAUCAUCUAAACAAAUGUCUUAGCAAUUCAUCCUUUUGAGAAAUAUUGCUGAUAACGUGUUAUAAAAUAGAGAGAAACUAGAUAAGUCAAUAGAGUUGUGUAUAUUUUAUUGACAACGAGGGUCCCAUAUUUAUAUGAAAAAAAUUAGGAAUACAAUGGUAAUAAUAACUAAGGCUGUUUAGGUAUAAUUGCCAUGUAUUAAUAACUAUAUUAUUUAUAACAAAUUUGAAAUUAUGACUAAUUUAUAGAUUAUGCAAAUGAAGAACAAAUAAUUGAUAAAAUUAGUUAAGUGAUGUUCGACUCAUAAAAUUGCAAGUUUGUAGAUUUUGUUGUUCAUAGUCUACCAUAAAUUUUAAGAAUAAUUGCAGCAAUGAUCCAUAAACUUUUCUAUUUUUACAGACUUUACCUUAACAUUCAUUUUGUAUCAACGAAAGUUCCUAACCCUUCAUAAAUAUGUAGUUGGGGUCCAUCUGAAUAGAAUCAUCCAAAACACCAUCAGUUAACCUAAAAAAUUAAAAAUAGGGUAUUUAGACCAUUUUAAAAAAGGGCAAUUUCAUUCAUAUAGUAUUUUCACUAUUGUACAUUUCCCUCAAAAUAAUUAAAAUAAAAAUAAAGGAACAUGAAUUGUUCACCUUCUACAACCCACUCUCAACAACCCAACCCACCAUACCAAAACCAAAUCUAACCUAACCCCCGCUUCCACCUUCUUGUGUACAACCACCCGUCACCACCAAAGCCAAAACCAAAUCCAACCCAACUCACUGUCCAAAACCAAAACCAAAUCCAUCCUCUGCAAAUAUGCUCCUUUUCUGGAUUAAUCAUGCUCCAUUGAUUUUAGAUGUAAAGGAGAAAGAAUAGUAGAAUAUGAAUAUCACAGAUAUACUUGUUAAAUCUCUAUUGAAGAAAUUUGUUACUCUAGUGUCAAUCAUUUUGUCUUUUUGGGAUAAAUUUUCUAGAAAAUAAAAAUUGUUUUGUUCUUAUUUUUAUUGAGAUUUGUUUGGGAAAAUUGGGUUCAUAAAGGUCUUCUUCAUUUGGACUGUAGCUAAUGAAAUGAGAGAUAAACGAAGAGGAAAAAUAAGUAAUAUUGGGGUUUGAGAGAAAAGAUUGCAUGAUUGAGUGACAUCAUGUAAGUAGCUUCAACACUGCAAAGAGGAGGUGGGGGUGGAAAUGGGGAUGGAUGUGUUGAAAAGAUGAUGUAUUUGGGCUAGGCGGUGGGGAAAAGGGAUGGGUUAGUUUUUUUUUUUUUUUUCCUUGUUGAGUUUUAAUUACUUUAAUUAUCAAUAUAUGAUUGAUGAAAAUAUCCUUAAUUAAAAUGGUCAAAAUACCUCAUUUUUAAUUUUACAAGUCAUCUAACUGUGUUUUAGACGAUUUUUGUCUAGUUGGAUCUCGGUUACAUAUUUAUGAAAAGUUGGGACCUUCACUAACACAAAAAGAAGGUUAAGAUAAAGUUUGCAAAAAUUGAAAAGGUUAUUGCAAUUAUCUCUAAAUUUUAUACCAGUAUGUAAUGUAAUCACAAAACCAAAUAUUUUGUUGACGUUAGAUAAUCUUUUUGGAGUCCAAAAUGGAAGAUCUCAUGAAAUACGGUUGAAUCUUGAAUUGCAUGAUGUAAGCGAUUAAUCGUUUUUGUGCUUAUUAAAAGAUGAUUAAUUUUACUAAGCACUAGAAGUAUUUCUGAAAUUAUAAAAUUGUGCAGCAAAAUUGAAAUAAGGAUGGCAAUGGAUCAGGCCCACACCCAUUUGGCAUUUUCCCGCCCCGUUACCUAUUUAAGGUAGAGCAAGUUGGCGGGAGGGGUUGGGCCCUGUUGGGAAUCUACUUAUACAUGCACAGCGGAAUUUAAAAUAUAUUUCGAUUCCCAUCCAAUAGAUCUCAUUGUGUUUGGUUAGGAAUUGUGAUAGGAUUGUACCUUUUCCAGAUCUGCAAUCCUUUUGCUUUUCUUUUCGUUCCACAACUUUGAUUCGCCACCACAGCUGUCCAAUUGUCCAGCCUCCAACGGUGAUCCACACAGAGAAAAUGAUUGCAGCCUCUAGGGUUUUCUCUUGUGCUAGCAAGAAUAAUGAAAACCUUAAUGGACCUCAAACCCUAGUUAUGUAUUUAUAUAAACCCAAACAGGCUCGGCCCGGUCCGGUCCAAUAAUUAAUUAAUCCAAUUAAUUAAAUCCGGUCCGUGAAUUAAUUAAUCUAAUUAAUUAAUUCGAAAAUAUAAAUAACAAAUCCAAUUAAUUAAUUUAUCCAACGAUUGUUAAAUUAACUAAUUGGCAAUUUGCAAUCUUCCAAUUCUCUUUUGUGUGUGACCCAUUAGGUUCUCGACCACGAUGCCUAACGACGUGAAAUAUUAUUUUGAUCUAAUCAAAAUUGAUAAAUUAAAACACCCNNNNNNNNNNNNNNNNNNNNNNNNNNNNNNNNNNNNNNNNNNNNNNNNNNNNNNNNNNNNNNNNNNNNNNNNNNNNNNNNNNNNNNNNNNNNNNNNNNNNNNNNNNNNNNNNNNNNNNNNNNNNNNNNNNNNNNNNNNNNNNNNNNNNNNNNNNNNNNNNNNNNNNNNNNNNNNNNNNNNNNNNNNNNNNNNNNNNNNNNNNNNNNNNNNNNNNNNNNNNNNNNNNNNNNNNNNNNNNNNNNNNNNNNNNNNNNNNNNNNNNNNNNNNNNNNNNNNNNNNNNNNNNNNNNNNNNNNNNNNNNNNNNNNNNNNNNNNNNNNNNNNNNNNNNNNNNNNNNNNNNNNNNNNNNNNNNNNNNNNNNNNNNNNNNNNNNNNNNNNNNNNNNNNNNNNNNNNNNNNNNNNNNNNNNNNNNNNNNNNNNNNNNNNNNNNNNNNNNNNNNNNNNNNNNNNNNNNNNNNNNNNNNNNNNNNNNNNNNNNNNNNNNNNNNNNNNNNNNNNNNNNNNNNNNNNNNNNNNNNNNNNNNNNNNNNNNNNNNNNNNNNNNNNNNNNNNNNNNNNNNNNNNNNNNNNNNNNNNNNNNNNNNNNNNNNNNNNNNNNNNNNNNNNNNNNNNNNNNNNNNNNNNNNNNNNNNNNNNNNNNNNNNNNNNNNNNNNNNNNNNNNNNNNNNNNNNNNNNNNNNNNNNNNNNNNNNNNNNNNNNNNNNNNNNNNNNNNNNNNNNNNNNNNNNNNNNNNNNNNNNNNNNNNNNNNNNNNNNNNNNNNNNNNNNNNNNNNNNNNNNNNNNNNNNNNNNNNNNNNNNNNNNNNNNNNNNNNNNNNNNNNNNNNNNNNNNNNNNNNNNNNNNNNNNNNNNNNNNNNNNNNNNNNNNNNNNNNNNNNNNNNNNNNNNNNNNNNNNNNNNNNNNNNNNNNNNNNNNNNNNNNNNNNNNNNNNNNNNNNNNNNNNNNNNNNNNNNNNNNNNNNNNNNNNNNNNNNNNNNNNNNNNNNNNNNNNNNNNNNNNNNNNNNNNNNNNNNNNNNNNNNNNNNNNNNNNNNNNNNNNNNNNNNNNNNNNNNNNNNNNNNNNNNNNNNNNNNNNNNNNNNNNNNNNNNNNNNNNNNNNNNNNNNNNNNNNNNNNNNNNNNNNNNNNNNNNNNNNNNNNNNNNNNNNNNNNNNNNNNNNNNNNNNNNNNNNNNNNNNNNNNNNNNNNNNNNNNNNNNNNNNNNNNNNNNNNNNNNNNNNNNNNNNNNNNNNNNNNNNNNNNNNNNNNNNNNNNNNNNNNNNNNNNNNNNNNNNNNNNNNNNNNNNNNNNNNNNNNNNNNNNNNNNNNNNNNNNNNNNNNNNNNNNNNNNNNNNNNNNACCCAUUUUCAUUUCCACAAAAUGAGGACCAAGUGGGAUAGACUUCAUUCCACUUUAACAAUUGGGUCAAGGCCCCCAAUUAAUGUAUUAUUUCUCUCAAGGGCUCAUUUCUUCCAAAUACUGUAAUUUAGUUCUUGAUAAAAAUUAAUUUGUGCAAUCCAUGUCCUCUUUAAUUCAAUUUAAGCCCUUCAAUUUUUAAAGAGUGAAAUUUGCUCCCCAAAGCAGCAAAUUUUAUUCAAUUUCAUAUUUCUUUAUCUAUAUUUGCUCUGAUCUCGAGUUUUCUCCUAACAUAAUCCAAAAAUAUAAAUAAUUAAGCAUCAAAUUCACAAUAAUACUAACAAAUGCCCAUUUGGUGGCUUAGAUAAGUGUAAAUUUUACACUUAUUAGGAGUAUAUAAAUUAAUUCUAUAAAAUGAAAAAAUGGGUAUACUAGUUAGUUGACACUGAAGUACAUAUAUUAUAUUUAUAAAAAUGGGUAUAGUAAUUAGUUGACACUAAAGUACAUAUAUUAGCACACACAUAAAAGGAAAUCAAUAAAAUUAACUUCGUAUUUAUCAUUGUGUUAAACACACUUUACGGAAUGUGGAAUGUCUGUAUAACAAAUUUUUCCAGAAAAUGUGAAUUUUUUUCAUGAAUAAGUUAUGAAACAAGAAAGGAUUAAAAUAAUUGGAGAAGGGAUACAAGUUUUGGCAAAGAAAAAUUAUUCAAAUUAAAAGGCACGGCUAUUUCCAAAAGAAGUUAAAAGAUAUUACGGCUAUUUGCAAAAGAAGUUAAAAGAUAAUAUCUUUUAACUCAACCAACUUAUGAAAUUCAAAUUUUGUUUUAAUUUCUUCGUUCUAUAUCAUUUCAAGAGCAAUGAUAUAAUUUCUUCAUUCAUACUCCAACAUAUUUAACUUCAUCAUUAUUCAAUAUAUGCUAGUGCACAUUACAUAAUUAAGACAGCAAAUAUUAUACAACAUUACACACAAACCACUACUAAAUUUAUAUAUUUAUUGGCAUCAUAUUCAUCCACGAAGUUGUAUAUAUAACGCGUAAAUGCUACACUCUGUCGAACUGGAUUCAGCUGGGAGGCUUAAUUUAAGGUAGUGCAUCCCUCAUUCCACCAGUAUUUUCGCUGCCUCCUCCACCUCCGGACGAACCUUCUUUUGUAUAGCCUGGAGGAUAACCUCCACCUCCAGGAUA
This 67449-nucleotide long non-coding RNA is filed under the name Olea europaea (common olive). Its description in RNAcentral is "long non-coding RNA (OEUR_LNC002358)". Lineage: Eukaryota; Viridiplantae; Streptophyta; Magnoliopsida; Lamiales; Oleaceae. The record is from RNAcentral.